CAAGUUUAAUUUGAACAUCAUCCAUCUAGUUCAUUUUUAAUUCGUCACAGUAUUUAUUUAUUGCAGGAAGAGGAAGGAUAUGGAAUGAGUCACGUCUGCCAAUACUUCAUCCUACUUGUCGUGCUUUCUUCUAAAUGGUCAAAACUGAAGAAAGGCUUCUGUCCUGCGCCCGUCAACAAAACUGAAGGAGCUAUUUCAUGUUAAGUUGUGGCCCAGGAAGCAUCUAUCUUAUGGUCUUUACUUUCAUGAUGUAUGAAUGGAUAAGUUAGUUGUAUCAAGUUUAUUGUGUGUUCUGUAGGUUCGUCAAAAAAGAAGUUCGUCGUGUGUCCUGCUGUUUUAAGUACAAUCUUUAAUUUGUGUCAUUGUGUGGAUGUGCCACUUGGUUCUUGAACUUGCAUGUGUUGUACCAAGUCUGUAUGUGAAGUUUAAUCUCUAAGUUUGCUUGUGUUUAAUUUACCACGCACGAACACCAGAGAAAUUAAACGGCAAUACUGGAAAUCAAGGGCAUGUUUCAAUGUUGGCCCCAAGUGGCCAAGGCAAAGCAUGGGCCGAGGCCAAAAUUUGGCAGCUGAUUUGGCUGCCCCCAUUUGGCCAGUCUUCGCGCAAAAAUAAACUACAGAAGUCCGGUCAAGCCAAAUCGGCACCAUCAUGCAAACAUUGCUGAUACCCACGGCCAAUGGCCAAAUUUUGGCCGGGCCACUUGGGUUGGCAUCCAAACAUGCUCCAAAUAAUGCACAUCCAUGAAGGCCACUUGACUAGCAAUCAGAGGAUAAACAAUAGACUAUAACCUUUUGCUGCUGGACAAAAACUAAUAUUUCAUAACAGGAAUUUAGGAAUAUCAAUAUUGGCACUGCUCUACAUCAAAUUAGGCAGCAUAUAACACAUAAUAAUCUGUAACUGUUUACAACACAAUAAGAAGGUGAGGGUGGAAAAUUGACAUUUAAUUUACGAUUGGGGGGUAAAAGGAGAAAGAUAUAUCUUCUUCACCAUGCUCUGGUUGGUGUAGCUACAUUCAAGGAGUUCAUAUCUAAGAAAAAUCAGUUGUACCCAUAGCAAAGUAGAAAAGGAUGAGUCUGCCAACAGAUAUUUUUGCCUGUACCCAGGACAAAAAAAAAAAAGGAACCAUGCACAACCAGGAGAAACGAAGAGAAAAGAUUGGCUUGCAAACUCACCAGGUAAGUAAACCAGGUACUUGUGUAAGCGAACAACACACCGCAAAUAUCUUCUGAUCGAAAAGCUGCAAUUAACCAAAGCAAUCAACCAAAAAGUUAUAUUAGUAUUUAUGUCAUGACAGUAAAGCAAAAAGGAUAGGAGAAUACUUUGCAGUAUUAAACUACAACACCAAGAUAUUUAAGAAAGUAGGCUGGUGGUAAUAUAUAACUGAUUCACGAUGAGUCAUUCGAGCUCACUUAGACUUAUCAGCAGCAACAAGACCACCAAAUCUUUAACGGCGCAAGAAACACAAAGCAAAGACGUGAUUCCCUCUCGUCGAGCGAAGCCUCCAGAAUGAAGAAAACAUAGAUAUUCUGAAAUUAGCAGUGUUCUGAAUCCCGGGUCCAUACAAAAUUACAAAAGAGCAUAAUCAUUUCGUUUUCAGUAAACAAUGGAAACAAUGGAACAGUACGAUCAUUAUUUUGACCCUUUGCAAAAGAUCAGGCAGCCUGUUCAUUUGAACCAAGAUCAUUCUACAUUUAAUUUUCUUUUGUGCAUAGGGGAGUCAUGAAUCUCUAUAUAUGUUGGUGAAAAGAAAAUAGGAUUUAGAAUAUAAUCAGUUUUGAACGUGAACCUGCAGAAGCUAUCGACUGAAGAUUGAAGCUUCGAAUAAAAAUCAUCUAAUUAGUGCCCUCGAAUCAUAGCCCUGAAGAUUGAAGCUUCAUAUAAAAAAACAUCCCAUUAGUGCCUUGGUUUGGAUUUCAGCUUGACUGCACCAUUAAUUCGGAAUAAACAAUAUUACCACAGCUAGAUGACCUUGAUACGCCUUUCUUCUUCAUCUUCUUUCUCUAUUUUACUUCCUAAACAGUGUUGGUUUGACCUUCGCAGUGCCGUCUACUUGUCCACCCUUUCACCAAUGUCAUCCUCUCCACCUCGCUGCACUCUUCUUCUACCUGACAUUGCCUGCCUCUAAAUCUACACUGACGUAUCUCAGCAGCCAUUUCUUCUUUUCACCUGGACCUGGGCACCUGGCACUGCAACAGCUCAGGUUGCCAAUAAUAGGAUUCCAAUCGAAGUGGUCUGUACAGGUUAGAGGGUAUGGGAGGUUUGGACUUAAAUAGAAUCGGAUGACCAAACCUAAUUGGAUGGCAAAAGCAGGUGUAUGUGCACGUUGUGUUGGAGAUGAAUGAACAGAGAGGAACAACAAGAACUCACAGUACAUAGCGACCAUCAAGGUAGCAUGUCGUGAAGCUGAAAGCCGGAACGGGUACUCGCGCUGUCGCCCAGUCUGCAAGCCGGACCUCGACGGGCAUCACUUGUCUAGGCCGCUGGAGGCGUAGGGCAUGGCGAGAGGAGCAAGCUCUGCAUUUCAACAGCAGGACGUAAUAAUAUUUUGACUGAAUGAUCAUCUGCCAUUUAUCAGAAUUACUGAGCCUCCGGAUACUAGCUAGCAUAGAUGCCAACCGCUGCCGCUCCACGACGUCGUUGUCUUUGCUGCCUAGGAGGGGGUUGGCCGGUGGCCGGCGAUAGCCGGAUCCCCUAGAGCAUCAGAGGUGGUGGUCGGCGGCUGUUGCAUCGAGCAAAGGAUUGGACGGUGAGUGCUCCGGAGUCUGGCGUCAAGCAGACAUGUGGGCCUUCGACUAAUUGGACCUAAUGCCAAACAUAACAGCUCGAGUACUCACAGGCCCAAUUGGCCCAUAAAGCCACCUACUCCUGUUCUCCUUUCUUCUUCCUUGCCUCAAUGCCAACUCCGGCGCGUUCGUUUCGAUUGGAAGCGGCAAGAUGUCCGGCGAGGAGGAGAACGCUGCCGAGCUCAAGAUCGGCGAAGGUUCGCUCUCCUUUACCUCUCCCAUUCUCCUCCCCCGUUUUCCCUCCCCAAAUUCUGGGCGGCGAGGAGGAGGUGGCGAUCAUCCUGGAGCACAAGUACGAGCAGAUCCAGCAGCACGUGUCGGAGUCGGACCCGUCGUCGCAGGUGUCCCAGGUGUUCGAGAAGUCACUGCAGUACGUGAAGCGCUUCAGCCGCUACAAGAACCCCGAUGCCGUGCGCCAGGUCCGCAAGACGCUCAGCCGCUACGGCCUCGCCGAGUUCGAGCUCUGCACGCUCGGCAACCUCUGCCAGGACACCAGAGGCGAGGCCACCGCGCUCGUACCAUCCCUCAAGUCCGGGGGGAGGUUCGUCGGCAAAGCCGGCAAUGAGAAGAUAGAGAAGAUGCUCACCGACCUCUCCCUCAUCAAGAAGUUGGAGUAGAGAGUGCCAUGGGCGUGCCUUAUUCAGUUCUUCAGUUUCCCUAGCUGUGCGUGUGACCUGUGAGACUUUUCUUAGCAGGUGACAAUGUAGUAGAAUUCCUACUGAUCAUCAAUGUUCUUCAGUUUCCCUAGCUGUGUGUGUGUGACCUGUGAGACUUUUCUUAGCAGGUGACAAUGUAGUAGAAUUCCUACUGAUCAUCAACGUUACAGUUAGUCAACUUGAUCUGCCUCGAUCCUAUAUUCUUGAUGUAUCGUUAUCCAAGUUAAAAGUCCAUAUGCUAUACUCUUUGUUUCAAAUUCUGCACGAAAAGCUAGAAUUGAGUUGAAAAGUAAUCCUUUGGUUAUGGAUGCUUCCUAAAGGUUUGGUUUCCACUUUCCAGUUCUCUGGACUUCUCAUCUAGUAGAGUGCUACCUCCAGUGUUAAAUGUUGGUAACUUGGUAGGAACAUGAAGCAUGCAACAGCUUCAAUCCUCUCCAGCAAAGCCUUGGAGUUGGAAUCCAAACUGAUCCUUAUUCUAAACCACAUCCGUGAUGCUUACAGGAACUACACAGCACAGAAUGCAAGAAGCUCAUAUCUUACAUGCAGUCCUUGGUGACUGUGAGACUUUUAUCAAGAGAGACUUCCCAGGUGAAGAUGUACUAGAGUUUCUACUGUUCAUCUGCUUUCGCAUUAUCUUGAUCUAUUCUGACAAGAGUCCCGAUCAUGAUCUGUUAAGAGAACCUUGUUCGUUUCAUAUGUAUAUGAAUAUGAUUGCAUUUUGUUCAUAAUUCUGCACAAAAAGACCUCCAUUCAGUUAAUUGAAUUGAAGAGCAAGCCUCUGACGAAUGCUCUCAGGUAAAGAGAGCAGCUUUGGUUCUCUGUUCUCAUGUUCUGUGAUGCAACCUAUAUUACUGAACAUAUCAUACAUAUGAACAUGAAUAGAACACCCUGCAAUUCAAGCAGGCAAACUGAGCCUGAUUCUGAACUUCACGUCACAAUGAUUUCGAGACAUCUGUAACACUACAGUAACUGCACAGCGCAGACACCAAGAGGCACACAUCUUAUAUAUAUAUAGUUACAAGUGAUUCAUUCUCCUUCUAUCACAUAUCUACUGAAUCAAUCCAAAUGGACGAUUCUAUAAGACAUUUGAUAUUCAUUUCACUAGUAGACAGUAACAGGUGACAAUGCCUCAUGGCCAGGAGAUGCUGGGGGAGAAGAAGCGCUAGCUUGCUUCCUACGAGCACCAGUUCCAGCAGCCAAAUGAAGGCGGUACCCGGCCGGUUCUCCUGAUGUGUUAUGCCUGCUCAGCUGUCCUUGCUGCCGCGCGGUUCCUUUUCAGCUCCGCUGCAGCACGCUUCUCAUCUGCAUUGUGCCUUGCUGAUGCAAGCUGGGUCAUCAGCUUGUCUUUAGCACGGGCACGCAUCCUCUCCACUUCAACCUUUAGGAACACAAAACCAUUAGUGCUUCGUUGAUAUGUACAAUGGAACAUCCACAUAAUCGGUGUUAAGAAAAUCUGAAUUUGCAAUUGGUUUUAUAUGUUCUGAACCUUAACUUCUCGGGCAUAUGGUGCAAGAGAAUAGGGGCAGCAGAAUAACAAACUAGAAUAAGCUAGUGAACCUGCCAUACUAUAUCUGAAUGAGACAAAAUAUUCUUAACUUGCUAUGUUGCAUCCGAAAGGCUUUGUUUUGUUGAUAUGUCAUAUCCAAGAUUAAAUGGAAUUAUGGAAGGACAAAUAAGCUAAUACCAAGUGUUAUGCUGAUGCAAGAGAAAAAUCGUGCCCUGGUUCAGAUAGGCUGAUGCAAGAUUAAAGGACAAUGGUUCUAAGUGUUGUUUUGGGCUAAUUUUUUUCUAUAAUUAUGGUGUUAUUACUUAUUUUGUCUUAGGAUCUUUAUAUUCUAAUUGUCAGUGGCAGUGGCAGUGACCAGACGAUCGAAUAAUUUCAUCCUCAGCAAAUUGAAGGAAAGCCCUAAAGGGCAAUGAUACGCAUUGAAUUAAGAUAAAUAAUAGCUGGAGGAGGUGGUAAGCUGCAAAGUUAGAGCUGUUGCAUUUUAACACCAUUCCUGUCGCAUGCAUGUCAUUACCAUUUUCAUUAAUUAGAUAGAUGCGUUGUGUUUGUGGGUAACCGUUAACUCAAAUGAAACUAACUAACUGCAGACCGACUACUCUAGCUACUUUCAUUGGUCCAUGGCAAAAAGAAUAAACUACUACUAUUGUAAUGAACAAUUACAUACCGAUCCUACACAUUCCAUCUUGUUUAUUAGCUAGGAAUGGAAACAAUUACAUACCUCCUUUUGGUGUCCUGGCCACUAACAUCACGAUGUCGCUGGGGUGGCACAGGGUAUGGGUUGGGAGCUCGUAGCUGUUGUAGAGUCAGACACAAAUAAAUAUACGAUCCAACAAGUCUUUUGCUACAUGCAGCUAGUUCAAUGCAGUGCGUACAGGGGGUGAGUGUUGAAAUAUGCAAUGCGUAUUUGGAAUAUUCUAGAAGAUUGUGGAGAUCUCAAGAGACUAACUUUGCCAUAUAUAAGGAUAAGAUCAUGGCAAGGUAAGAAGGUUCUAGAAAAUUGGAAAGAAUACAUGAGCCAUAAUUGUCAUGCUUCAUGGUGAAGUGUAGAAUACUCAAACUAGAUAUUUUAGUAUGGUAGAAAUAUAAGAAACUAGAUAAGGAUGAGGAGGGUUCUAGAGUUAGGAUAUUUUGUAUUCAAGAGUGUGAAAAUUGCCACAUGGCAAUAUCACAAUGAUCAUGAACACUUAUAAAUAGAGGUGCUCCCCUCCCUCCUAAUCGAUUUUUCAACAGUGAGCGAGGCCAAUUAUUAGCAUAUACAUACAUAAUGUAGUGUAAUUAAUAAAGACUAGAUAGUCAGCUGAGAGACACGACUUACCGAAAGCCUUUAGGCUUAUGACUAUAUUUGCAUUAAAAGGCUAAAGUUUAGCACCAACUCAACCAAACAAGAGAGUUAAUCGGUGGGUUAAACUUUAGUAAAACUUGAAAAAUUGUAAAAGCAUAAGCUAGGAUAAACUUUAGUUAAGCUAAAAAAGAUGUAAAAGUAUUAUUUAGGAUAAAAGGAUUCUGACUUGUCAAACUAAUAGCUUGGAGAGCAGCAAGUUGAGGACCUGUGACAUGAGGACCUGUGACAUGAUGCUGAUUCUGGGUUGUAUGGGACCUCAUAAUCCGAGCCUAUAUUGAAAUUAUAGGUCUAAGUAAGAAGGUCACUUUCUUGAACCCCAACUCUCCAAUCAUUGCCAAAACUAGCAACAACUGCAUCACAGAUGGUAUGAUACUUUGAAUCAGCAAUCUUGGAUGAAGAGAAAUCAUGCAACUCCUUAAAUAAGUGAGGGUAAGAGACCAUAGGAAUAAGAAGUAGAUGUAUUGAAAAAAUUGCACAGUCCUCAAACCUAUUACUCAUCAACCAGAGCAGAUGAUCCAUAUCUGCUCAAACCUAUUACUCAUCAACCAGAGCAGAUGAUCCAUAUCUGCUAGUAGCCAAAGCCUCCCACAAACAUUAAACAAUUUUAAAAUCAAAUCCGCAACUGCCUUGUAAUUAAGUCGUAGACGAGCAUUAAUUGAUGCAUCAUCCAAAUCUUGCCUUGUGAGAAUAUGGAUGCAUCUCAGCUUUACCUUCCCUGAGGGAUACACGCGAGAAGAUCAACACAACCUCCUUCCAGCUCAAUCUUUCUCAAAGUCUUGAUCGAAGAUCUUGAAACCUUCUUACUGAUUUCAGAAUCAAGAUAAUAAGAUUUGUAACUAUGCUCACCAGGAAGAGUUGGUAUACCAUCUGUGCAAUUGGUUUUGUAAUUAGUCUAUGUUUAAUACUCCUAUUAGUAUCUAAACAUUCAAUGUGACAGUAUUUAAAGAACCAAAAUGGAGGUGCAUCUGAAAGCAAGUUGGCAUCUUAGGACAAUUGUUCUUUUUUUUUUGUCAAUGCAUUCUGGUCUGCACUCGAGCUACCUAUCGAUCUCACAUUGAAUUGCGGCACACAAGAGUACAAGAGAAACAACCAAAAGAUGUUGGUAAGCCAACAAGAGGUAGCAUGUGUCCUACACAAAGAGAAUUCACAGAUCAGCAUAUGCCAUAGAAAACAAAUGGACCAAAAUCACAGCAGACACUAGCAACAAAAUAGAGGGUAGAGGUUACCUAGGAACAUUAAGAGUAAGUCAUCAAGCAUCAGUUGAUUCAGAUCAUAUCCCAUCCGGUGAAGAUGAAUCUGAAGAUCAAUCACAUCAACCUCAAACUGUGUGAGCAUAGCUGGAUUCUGACUAGUCAAACACACAACUUUGAGAGCAGCUUUCUGAGUACAUGUGACACGACGCUGAUUCUGGGAGUUGCGUGGGACCUCAUAAUCCGAGCCUCCAUUGAAAUUAUAAGUCUCACAAAGAAGGUCAUUUUCUUAAACCCCAACUCUCUAAUCAUUGCCAAGACCAGCAACAAGAGCAACAAAGAUGGCCUGAUACUCUGAAUGAUCAAUCUUGGAUUCCAAGAAACUAUGCAACUCCUUGAAUAUGUGAGAAUAAGAGAUCAUUAUAAUAAGACCAACAUGUAUUGGGAAAAUUUUCCGAUCCUCAAAGUGAUUAUUCAUCAGCCAGAGAAGGAGAUCAAUGUCUGAUGGUAGACAAAGCCACCCACUGACCAUAAACAAUUUCCAAAUCAAAUCCGAUGUUGCCCUGGUAAUUAAGAUAAAUAAUAGCUGGAGGAGGUGGUAAGCUGCAAAGUUCUCUACAAUGAUAUUCAAACUCCCCUGUGAUUAAUAUUUUUGUUAAGCUUUGCUACUCAACAGCUGAACAACUUCCCAUGCAGGGAUUAUCUAAUAUACGCAUCGUUCUGCCAAGCUGUGGUAAGAAGAAUAAAAUAAGGAUUCUAAAUAUUACAAAGGAGAGGAAAACACAUCUCAACUAAAAGAGGCAAACUGGGCAGGGAUCCAUGGCCAUGGUGACUUUGAAUGAAAGGAAAUAAGAUGCUUACUUCAAUUUUUCUCAUUUCAGCUUCAAUUUUGGCCUUUUGAUGAUCCUCCCAUGCUUGGAUCUUGAUCUCUUCUCGUUUGAACCUUGAAAGCAGAAGGCACAGCAUAUAAUUAAGUCACCAACCAACCAGAGAAUUUAAAAAUGUAGAUGUAAGACACUUAGAUAUAAGCACCUGGCCAAGUAUUUGGCCUUUUCCGCUUCCUCCCAAGCAGCUGCACGCCUGCACGGACUUCAGUUAUGUUCUGUGUUGAUUGGUCCAUGGGCACUGUUUUCAGUGCAAGGGAUGCAUCCUUUUCCUCUUCCUUCUUGCUUGCCCAUACUGCAAUAUUUGUCUUACCAAGCUGUGUGCCAAGAAGCAUUAUCUCCUUCCUAGUUUUUGUUUGCAGAUCCUGUUCACUUAAUUCGGCAUUGCUACAUUCUCCAUGGCUGCUAACAGCUCCAACUGCAUUGGGACCUAACGUCCUUCGUGGAGUUGUUGGCCGAGAACAAUUUGGACUUGUUGCUCUCACUGGUGUUCCUGUCCGGGAUGGUUCUUGGCUUGCAAUAGGAGUCAUUUCAGUGCCCAUAUCCCUCAUUGAUACUGACCUAACUGUUGAUGGAGGAGGUAUGCAUGUUGUUGCGCUUUGAAGUGGGGUGGAUGAAUCAUUACGAUCAAAAGUAACUGCACCCAUUCAAAAAAAAUCAACUAUAAGGAAUUUGAAUAAUCUUCGGUUGCAUUUGCACCUUAAUUACAACAUGAGAAGUGGGGAGACUAGCAUUUUUUCAAUGAAAAUACGUGUCACAACAUGUUCUAGCGUUUUUGAGGUUUGGUUAAUUAGCUCUGAAUAUUCUUCACUAUUAUCAUGGUGGCGGGCGACACAAGUGUUGGAGCUGCCUACCUUCCGAGUGCAACUUGGACUCUGAAUGCCGAUGAUGCCGUCCCAACCUUGCCUUCCACUUCUGCUAUCCGGCAGAAAGGCCUCCUCGAUCUUCCGGCCAAUAUGGCAAGCAUCAGUCACGCUACACUGAGCAUCUUUGCACUAUACCACUGCAUGUUUAUAAAACGAAAGAUGGCACUUCCUUGUCCUCUUGGACGAGAGGUCGCUGCUAAACCAAACUGACACCGCAACUAAAUGCGGAUAUCUUUUUUUUCUAGAAUACGCAGGAGAGCUGCGUAUCUUUGUAUUAAGAAGAUAAGAAAAUUUUCUUACAACGCGGAUCUACCAGGCGCACGUACACGGCUAGGAUACGGUGUUACAUGAUGGAAGCUGAAACAACCAAAAGCACACAACUCAAAGGAAACAAAACAGCCAAGAUGCUGGUUCAAACUGUCGGCCAACUGAAAGCAGCAACUUGCUUUGCGCCAGCCGCGCUCCAGAGGUUAGCCUCGUCAGUGAUAUCAGCAACCAGUUGGAUGGGCGUUUUUAGUGCUGCUCUUUGGAAGAUCCGAUCGUUGCGCUGCUUCCAAAUCCUCCAGGACACUAGCAUGAAGAUUGAGUCCAUUCCUUUUCUCUUGUCAUCGCUGAUCCUCUCCCUUUUUUCCAGCCACCAAUCUGACAAGGAUUUGUUUGGCGACGGCGGAGUGUUCUGAAUGUUCAAAGACAGACUGAGAAUGUGCCAUACUUGCUGCGUGAAGCUACAUCUCGCGAGCAGAACCAGGCAUGUAUAUAUGCAGUGUUCUGAUAAUCACGUGUGUCGCUUUCGACUUGACCCUUUACCAGAGCCAUUAAUUCUCGAGCUGAAUGAUAAAAAGCCGGGCAAAACCAGGCAUGUAUAUGUGCAGUGCAAGGUUCCAAAUCACUGGUAUUUCUUUCUGAAGAAAAUGCCAAUGCUAUUAAUUUGGGGAAAAAAGUUUUGGUGACAGAGAUGAUUGAGAUGAAAUUAGCCAUGUAAAUUGAGGAAGAACACAGCGUUGACGCUCGUUAUUGACACCUAUUUGAAUAGUGUUUUCAUGCAUAUUCUUGUACUGACCCGCCACUUGGCACCUGAAAUAACCCCAUAUUUGUAUGUGUUGUGUUUUGGACUAUAUUGCAAAAUCACAGAAAAUAUGACAUAAAUGAAGGGUUUUUCUACAAGUUGGAUUUGAACUUGGACUUUGGACAACACGAGAAGUCUACACGGGAAAGACAAGGAUUAGCGGAGACCAAAAGAGGGUAGGCUGAUCGGCCCAGGACACAUAGGCCGAUCAGUCUAGACCGAUUCACUGUCUAAAUGUGUCCACAUUCGAUGAACCAUCAUUCAGAUAACUUAGAGGCAAAGUAUGUAGUGAUUUGGCAAGUCAGUCUCGUGGUCAAGCUAAGGGAAACUCAAGGCUGGAAGGUCAUAAGGCCCGUAGAAGCAGCAGAACUUGCACAAGGCAUCUCCCUCGUCCGGACUCCGAUUGGGACAAAUUUAAUGUCUAAAUUGCAUAGCUCAAAAAGAUCUACAACUUUCAUAUAGAAAGUUUUGGCAUCUGAGGCCGGGAAGGAGGCAAUAUCGCCUAGGCUGAUCGGCCCAACGGGCCUAAGCCGAUUGGCCUAGCCGUUUCUAGUCCCGAUCGAUGUGCCCUUGUUGACGGCUGUUAGCAUGCCAAGUUGUGAACCGCAAGCGCACGGAUCAGUUGUAACUCUUCCCCUCAGAGUACUCCCCCAUGGUUUAUCAAUUCAUGGAAUUUAAAGUACAAGAUCUAUUUUAACUAGCAUUAUUAGUAUGGACUUGGUAUUGAUGAGUGAUUCAGAUCUAAUCUACUAAACAUGUACAUACAGAUAACAUAUAGAGUAGAGAUAAUUAAUCUAGAGUAACCUAGACUAUGCAUAUGUUGUAAUUCCGAGCAUAUGUUGUAUUUUCUGCAGCAAUUGUAGUCUUUGAAUAAGGCUCCACUUCUGGAUAGGGAUCAGGUGGAGCCCAAUUUACAGCUUUCUGCCACCCAAUUUCCCUCUUCUCUUGGCUUGGAUCAAUCCUCUUAGUAUCUAUCUCCUCCGUGGCCUCCAACACAACCUUUGUUGCUGGUAGCCUCCCAAUGCCAGAGCUAGGUUUCUCCAUCUUCCAGGGUACUGCCCCACCAGCAGCCCUGCUAGGACGGUUUGUUGUCGGGCUGGCAAUCCAUUUCUGCGCAUCGUCCCACUUUGAUGGAGCAGGCUUUGAGAAGGGAGGAACAACUGAUGCUGCCGCUGACCGAGCGGACGUCCCUCGUUCCUUGUGGAAUUCAAAGUUAGAAGCCACACUCUGAGUCACACGAAUCCUCCUCGGGCACCCUGACCCUGAAGCCAUGGAGUGGGUAUCUCGCGACCGGUGCCCACCCCCUGUCUCAAGCGAGGUUGAAGAUUCAGAGAUGGUGCUCACCACAUCUACAUCUCAAAGCCCAAUGGCCCAAACUGCAUACAGCCUCGUAUACAAACAAGUAGCCCAUCAUCAGCAGCGGUAGCGUCAUGCGACAUGUUGUGUAUGGGUCAACAAUUUGGACCGUGAGGAAACGAAUUAGGCUUGAAGCAGAGGCAAAAAAUGUACCAAUAAAAGUAGUGACUUUUUUUUAGUUAGAAAAAUCCAUUUUUACUAACUAUAACGAAAAAAGUAGUUAACUACUGCUUAACAACUUAUAUACAUAUAAAAAAAUAUCCUAAUAUCUUUUUCCUUCCUUGAAUCUUUUAGUUUUAGUCAUUUCAUGAAAAAUUUUAUACUAUAAAUUUCUUCUUAUCCAUAAUGGAUUUACCUGGACCAAUACAUGAGAUUCUUGUGCUAUUUGGGGGAUUUAUUCUUCUACUAGGGGGUCUUGGAGUAAGUAAUUAUUACUUACCAACCCAAUUUAUUCAGCCUUUUCGCUGGGAUUAGUUCUUGUUUGUAUAUCCUUAUUCUAUUUUUUAUUGAAUUCCUACUUUGUAGCUGUCGCACAACUUCUUAUUUAUGUGGGAGCUAUAAAUGUCUUGCUCGAAAUCAUAAACUUUGAUCUUAUGAUAUUGUAUUAGUGGAUGACACUGCAUUUCAAGAGUUUAGAGUUUAGGUAUAUAUAUGGCAUCCGAUGCAUUUCAAGAGUUUAGGUAUAUAUAUGGCAUCCGAAGCCAAGUUUAAUGAGUAAAAUUUGCAUUUUGAGAGUACAGGGACUUAAGUGACACCUGAGCCCAAGUUUAGGGAGCUAGAUAUGCAUUUUUUGCGAGUACGGGGUCUAAGUGAUACAGCCGAACAAGUUGAAGGACCAGCCAUGCAUUUUACUCUAAAGAUAUUGUUCCAUGAGGCAUCAUUUACCGUGUCUAUAGCUGUUCCGAAGAGCUGGGACGCCCUGCGCUUUUCAGGUUGAUCAGGAAACACCUGAAAUCGACUAGAAGAGAGCAAACGAGCAUGGUUUUGCACUUCUAGAGCGUAUCUGCAUCAGUGAUGGCGUAUGAAGCUUGAACUUACUAUACAGGACCUAGUCCUCUUGAGCUCUUUAAGCUUCCUUGCAACAACAGGAGCAAGCUGGAUGUUGGCAUCGAUGAACUCAUCUGAGGAUCCCUACAGAAGUAAGCAGGAUGAUCAGAAACAGUAGUAGGCCAAGUACCAUACAUAUGUAAUACAGUAAUAGCAGAAAUCGACCUGGUCUUUUCUGGAAAAAAAGAAGUGACAAAGGCUAGCAAAAAAUCAGUAUUGUUGAUAAAAAAUAAACUCUCCCAAAUCAGAAAUGCAUACUUCAACAUUGUAGUAUACAGAUUACAGAGGUAUCAUUCCCUGCAUCAAUCGUAUGCAUCUCUAAUUCGAUAUAAUCAAUCAUCGUACGUCAGAAGUACAAAGUUCAGUGUGGCAACAAUUGGUGCCAAAACUAGUAAGAAGAGAUGACGCAGAAUGAGCAUAUUGUGAUGAGUAGGUGUACCUUGUAAGAAGAGAUGCUGCUUGGCAGAGGCCUUGACAUCGUCAAAAUUCAGAAGCAGAGCCACCCACGAACAAGGCGUGAACCAGCAAGGAAACGAGCGAUGAUGAGAAGAUAAUGCGGGCACGGGGACAGCGACGCAGCAAAACGAAGAGCGGCGAGCUGGGAACUCGAUCUCGAGGCGGGUCUUGCCGUCGUCGAUGGCGCAGGCGAGGGAGCGCGCGGCGUCGGAGACGAGCACGUCGUAGGAGCGCGGCUUGUACACGGACACCCCGGCCCUGAGCGCCUCCACGUCCCCCAUGCCGGUCCCCGUCCCCGCCUCAGCGCGUGGGGAGACGGCCAGGCGGCGGGGCCGGAGCCGCGAGGAGGUGGCCGGCAGUCGGGGCGGAGAGGGAAAGGAGAAGGGCACGCGCGGCAGGCGGAAGUGCCGGGCGCAGAGAGCCGUGGGCGCCGGGGCGGCCAUGGCUGUGCGAUCCAGCAGCGUCGAGGAGGAAGAUAGCAGACGACAACACAGCCACACGCUGGCGCGAGGCCAAUCGAAGCUACUGUCUUCGGCAGGUGGGGCCGAGUCAUUGCAAAUGAAGCAAAAGUCUCGUGCCUCCCGAGUGCGAAGAGAGCAUGAGCUACACCCCCACUUCUGUCCUCGACUCAAUGCAUUCGCGGCAAGCCGGCGAGACGAUUGGAUUCCUUUUGCAUCGAUGCUUGCGCCAAUAGAAACAAGCACUUUCUUACAACGUAGGGGCUGUUUGGAUACGAGGUGCUAAACUUUAACAGUGUCACAUCGGAUGUUCGGAUGCUAAUUAGGAGGACUAAACAUGAUCUAAUUAUAAAACUAAUUGCAGAACCUUGUGCUAAUUUGUGAGACGAAUCUAUUAAGCCUAAUUAAUCCAUCAUUAGCAAAUGGUUACUGUAGCACCACAUUGUCAAAUCAUGGACUAAUUAGGCUUAAUAGAUUCGUCUCGCGAAUUAUACUCCAUCUGUGCAAUUAGUUUUGUAAUUAGCUUAUGUUUAGUACUCCUAAUUAGCAUCCAAACAUCCGAUGUGACAGGUGUUAAAUUUUAAUAGGGUGUUCCCAAACACCCCCGUAGUACAAACAUCAGGAUUUUCUUAACUAGCAUCGUCAAGCCCACGUCAGUGGGUGUCACCUCCUCUGCAAGCAGCACAAAGUAAAGUAAAGCAAUAUAAGUGGGCGUCACCUCCUCUGCACGCAACACAAAGUAAAGUAAAGCAAUGUAAACAAAUACAUUAGAGUAUGCAUAACAAAAUUGACUGUUUCACCUGCUACCUACCACCUAUGCACUAACCACAUCACACCACCAAUCGUAAGGGUGCCCCGGAUGAUGCUCCCCACCACGAUCCCAGCCAACAUCCCACCAGACAUCCAGCAGGCCGCUGCGUCUCGAGCAGCGGAGGGCUAGGCGGUGGCGGCUGGCGGGGCGGAGGAGUUGGGGAUGAUGGCAGUGGAGGGGGAGGAGGGGUAUCAGCCGGCGGUUGCAACUGCCUCCUUGCGGCUCCCGCACGUGCCGUAAAGCAUCCACACCGAGUCGAUGCUGAGGUUGGCUUCGGCGAAGGCGCUGUACUCACCGACGUUGUAGAGACAGCCGCGGUCUGGGUUGUCUACAGUGUCCAGCAACGCCAAGCAGUAGCCUGGAGGAGGAACGGUUGUUAAGAAUGUAUACUGCUCCGCCACCCUCGCCGCAAGAGUAGAGCUGUUGCAUUUUGGCGCCAUUCCUACCCAUGCAUGUCAUUACCAUUUUCAUUAAUUAGAUAGAUGCGUUGUGUUUAUGGGUAACAGUUAACUCAAAUGAAACCAACUAAAUGUAGACCCACUACUCUAGCUACUUUCAUUGGUCCAUGGCAAAAAGAAUAAACUACUACUAUUGUAAUGAACAAUUACAUACCGAUCCUACACAUUCCAUCUUGUUUAUUGGUCAGGAAUGGAAACAAUUGCAUACCUCUUUUUGGUGUCCUAGCCACUGACGCCACGAUGUCGCUGGGCCGGCACGGGGUACGGGUUGGGAGCUCGUAGCUGUUGCAGAGUCAGACACAAAUAAAUAUAUGAUCCAACAAGUCUUUUGUUGCAUGCAGCUAGUUCAAUGCAGUGCGUGCAGGGGUGAGUGUUGAAAUAUGCAAUGCAUACUUGGAAUAUUCUAGAAGAUUAUGAAGAUCUCAAGAAACUAACUUUACCAUAUAUAAGGAUAAGAUCAUGGUAAGAUAAGAACGUUCUAGAAAAUUGGAGAGAAUGCAUGAGCCAUAAUUGUCAUGCUUCAUGGUGAAGUGUAGAAUGCUCUAGAACAAGAUAGUUUAGCAUGGUAGAAAUAUAACAAACUAGAUAAGGAUGAGGAGGGUUCUAGAGUUAGGAUAUUUUGUAUUGAAGAGUGUAAAAACUGCCACAUGGCAACAUCACAAUGAUCAUGAGCACCUAUAAAUAGAGGUGCUCCCCUCCCUCCUAGCCGAUUUCUUAACAGUGAGCGAUGCCAAUUAUUAGCAUAUACAUGCGGAACGUAGUAUAAUUAAUAAAGACUAGAUAGUUAGCUGAGAGAGACGACCUACCAAAAGCCUUUGGCUUAUGACUAUAUUUGUAUUAAAAGGCUCAAGUUUAACACCAACUCAACCAAACAAGAGAGUUAAUCGGUGGGCUAAACUUUAGUUAAACCCAAAAAUUGUAAAAGAAUUAGCUAGGAUAAACUAAAUGUAAAAGCAUUAGCUAGGAUAAACUUUAGUUAAGCCAAAAAAGAUGUAAAAGUAUUAUUUAGGAUAAACUUUAGUCAAAUACAUAUUUGGUCAGAUAUAUGCAUCAUUUUGACAAGAUGUGGUAAGAGGAAUAAAAUAAGGAUAGACAUUCCAAUGGAAGUUCGAAACCAUAGACAUUCCAACAGAGACCAACAGAGACCAUAAGCAUAGCAGUUCUAACUACCACCUGCAUCACUACUACUACCAAUUAGGGGGUCCAUUCCUACAUAAACAUAGCAACUCAAACUACCACCUGCAUCACUACUACUACCAAUUAGGGGGUCCAGUCAUAGGGUUCUGACUUUACAUGUAGUCUCACACCAAAGAGUAUGACUUUACAUGUAGUCUCACACCAAAUAGUAUCCAGUAGAAUGCCAAAAAGCUAGCGAGGCACUCUACCACUUAAGUCUUGCUAACUGCACUCCUCAGCCACCAUCUCUGUCCUACAAAAACAAAGAGUGCAGAUCAGUACACAGCAUAGGAAUUGGACAGCUCAUAAUCACAGCAGAGGUUACCUAGGAGAACAUUCAGAACAAGUCAUCCAACAUCUUCGGAUCAUAUCCCAUCCGGUAAAGAUUAAUCUGAAUUUCCGCUACAACUCAAGGAAACUUCACUCUAGUGAUGAUCUCAAUACUGAUGGCAGAGAAAUCGUACAUCAUCUGAUUCCAAGUACCAUAAAUAGCUGCUAUGGCUUCCAUACGAUGUGCCAACCGAUUCCUCAGGAAAUUCAGAAGUUUGUGACCAUUGAUCACAUCAAUCUCAAACUGUGUGAGCAUAAGAGAAUUCUGACUUGUCAAACUAACAGCUUGGAGAGCAGCAAGUUGAGGACCUGUGACAUGAUGCUGAUUCUGGGAGUUGUAUGGGACCUCAUAAUUCAAGUCUAAAUUGAAGUUAUAGGUCUCAGUAAGAAGGUCACUUUCUUGAACCCCAACUCUCCAAUCAUUGCCAAAACUAGCAACAACUGCAACACAGAUGGCUUGAUACUCUGGAUCAACAAUCUUGGAUGAAGAGAAAUCAUGCAACUCCUUGAAUAAGUGAGGGUAAGAGACCAUAGGAAUAAGAGCAGAUGUAUUGGAAAAAUUGCACGGUCCUCCAACCUAUUCCUCAUCAACCAGAGCAGAUGAUCCAUAUCUGUUGGUAGCCAAAGCCUCCCACGAACAUUAAAUAAUUUUAAAAUCAAAUUCGCUACUGCCUUGUAAUUAAGUCGUAGACGGGCAUUAAUUGCUGCAUCAUCCAAAUCUUGCCUUGUGAGAAUAUGGACGCGUCUCAGCUUUACCUUCCCUGAGGGAUACACGCGAACUUUGCCUUCAGUGAGAAGAUCAACACAACCUCCUUCCAGCUCAAUCUUUCUCAAAGUCUUGAUCAAAAAUCUUGAAAACCUUCUUAGUGAUCUCAGAAGCAAGAUAAUAAGAUCUGUAACUAUGCUCACUAGGUAGAGUUGGAAUACCGUCUGUUGUUGAAUUAAAAUUCACUUCCGAGACCAUCUUAUUGUUCCUUUUGAAAUGAUCCCAAGUGACGCUCCUGUGAGAAAAACAGCACGGGUCCCAUUGGGUGAUGGAUCUAGAAUAUACUCAUCAUACACAAGGUAUGACUUUGCUGUAAAAAAAAUAAAAACCAGAUUAAAUUGAUUGUCAUAUAAUUGACAAAGAUGGUAAAUUAACAAAAACAAUAGAAAAAAUAAGGAAUAUAUAAAACUAUAUCCUAAUUAAUUGAAUGGAAAAAUAAGAAGGCACACAAGAAAUUACUACCUGGUCCAGGAGGUACUUGAGCCAUGGGGCAAGCUUUGAAGGUGAGUCCACGAAACACUGCAAAAAUAUUUGCAAAGUCAAUCUACUGAUAAAACAAAACGUAGCUGAGCCUAGAUAUCUAAACUUCCUUGUCCUAACACAUCUACAAUAGCAUUAUAACCCUAAAGGUAGCCAUGCUCAUUGGGUUGUAACCUAAGCUGUAACCUCACCAACCCAUUCAUAAAGAAAACAAAUAUAACACCCUCCAGUUCAAACCUCGAUCACCAAACACCGUACCACCCCUAAACUAAUUAUAAAUAUGAGCUAAUUAUAAAACUAAUUACACAGAUGGAGGCAAAUUCGUGAGAUGAAUCUAUUAAGCCUAAUUAAUCCAUCAUUAGCACAUGUUUACUGUAGCAUCACAUUAUCAAAUCAUGGACUAAUUAGGCUUAAUAGAUUCGUCUCGCAAAUUAGCCUCCAUCUGUGUAAUUGAUUUUGUAAUUAGUCUAUGUUUAAUACUCCUAAUUAGUAUCUAAACAUUCGAUGUGACAGUAUUUAAAGAACCAAAAUGGAGGUGCAUCUGAAAGCAAGUUGGCAUCUUAGGACAACUAUCCUUUUUUUUGUCAGUGCAUUCUGAUCUGCACUCGACCUACCUAUCGAUCUCACGUUGAAUUGCGGCGCACAAGAGUACGAGAGAAACAACCAAAAGGCGUUGGCAAUUUGGCAUGGACCCAACCAACAAAUUUCAUUUGCUUCACUCUUCCUUUGCUUCGAUCCCUCUAAAAUUUCGUGAAAUCUUUGCAAUUUGGCAAUGGACCCAACCAACAAUCUGCAUCGAGCUACUUAUCGAUCUCACAAGACUAACAAGAGAUCAAUCAUGAAGCCGCAAGUAGAUGCAAUUUUGCCUUGGGGCCAUGUCAUCAGUUGCACUAAUCAAGCAUUCAAACACCAAUUUAGCCCGCACAAAAUGUCCCCAAACUCAUCAUGCCAGCCAUGUAAGCCUUCAGCUUGUCGUGUACUCCCUCCGUUGUUCCAAAUCGUAUGUGCAUAGUAGUGUAUGUCUAGGGACGGAUCCAACAGUGAGGCGGACGACAGUGGCGGAGGUAGGAAUAAGACCUAGGGGGCUCUCCUUUCUUCCUUCUUGCUUCAUCCCCUCCUUCUCUUCUUCUUCUUCCUCCUCAAAUUUGUAGGAGGGGCUCGAGCCCCCCCUCCUCCCACCCCCACCGCUGGGGGUGGGGCUCAAGCCCUCCUACCGCCGCUCGGACAAUGGAGCCUCCCUCGAGCCCCUUCAUGAUUUUUAGGAAGAAUGAAGAAGAAGAGAAGGGGGGAAGGGAAAGGAAGAAGAGGGAGCUCCUCCUAAGCUCAGGGGCUGCAUCCACCAUUGUGUAUAUCUAGAUGCAUAUUAAUAUCUAUAAACCUACAAAGACCUAUAAUUUGGAAUCGGAGGGAAUAUAUUUUAAACACGACGAAAAAGAUGAUGAGAUUGAGGCCCUGUUUGGUUCUUUAGUCCACGGACUAAAGUGGGACUAAGAUAGUCCGUGUCACAUCGAAUCUUUGGAGGCUAAUUAGGAGGACUAAAUAUGAGUUAAUUAUAAAACUAAUUAGGCUAAACUGCGAGAUCAAUCUAUUAAGGCUAAUUAAUCCAUCAUUAUCAAAUGGUUACUGUAGCAGCAUAUUGUCAAAUCAUGGACUAAUUAGGCUUAAUGGAUUCAUCUCGCCAUUUAGCCUCCAUCUAUGCAAUAGGUUUUUUAAAUAGUCUAUGUUUAAUACUCCUAAUUAGUAUCUAAAUAUUCGAUGUGAUAGGGACUAAAGUUUAGUCCGGGGAACCAAACGGGGCGUCUAUACGUCGAAGACUCUAUCACAAGAAACUAUGCUCCAUAAUGCAAAGUUUGUAACAAUAGUUUCUAUGGAUAAAAUUUUUUAUUAUGCAACACAAAGAAAGCUGAUCAGCUGUGGCAUCUUACCAUGUGAUCCACCCUGCACCUCAACAGCUUGCAACAACCAUAUACGACAUGAUUAAUCAGCAACUGAACAGAGGCAUCCAGAAAUACGGUGUUGUGAUCAAACGGCAAUUGAACUGAUGCAUACAGGAUAUAUAUCACCAGAAGCACAACGCAUACUUUGACACAUACAAGAUAUAUCAGCAAACGCACUGGCAAACACAAUGCCUACAGUAUACACUGAAUGGCAAACAAACUCCACAGAACUUCGAUGAAAGUUUAGAUAGUAGCAAUGAGUCAUCCAUUACAAUAUAUAGCAAUGGAAACUAAGAUAUGAAUUGCAAACUGAAUAGAUAAUACUAAUAUUUAGAUAAUAUUAAGCCAUCCAUCAUCAUCCUGCAUACAGAACUCCAUGUCCAUCAUCCUCCAGCCACUCCAAGCAGAACUGUUAAAAAAUAAGAAUGGGUUAGUAAAUUAACAAAAUUGUACAGGUGGUUGAUUUAACAAAAUCUCAAUGGUUCAGUUAAAAAACAAAUAUCAAUGAUUUUUGAACAUGAAGGCUAAUGUGUAUAUAUAUAUAUUUAAAUGCAUAACUCUACCUAAUUAGUUCGAUUCCCAAACUUUUGCCAAAUGUGAUCAAUCAAAUCAGAUUGUAGUUGCCUGUGAGCUUCACGAUCACGAAUCUCAGCACUUCUCUGUAUUACCUCCUUCAUCACCGGAUCAUAUCCAUGAGCGAUUGUAGACGCCUGAAUAGUAGACGUGGUUCCUUCCUCGUUCAGGUCAAACGAAUCAUCCUCUAUAUCCUUCUCGUCCUCGAUUAUCAUGUUGUGAAGUAUUAUACAAGCUAACAUGAUAUUCUCAAGAUCCCCUUGAUCAUAUAGACAUGCCGGCCGACGCAAAAUGCAAACGAGAUUGUAAAAUACCAAAUGCACAUUCAACAUCCUUUCUUUCCCCCUCUUGAUGUUCUGAAUACAGCUUGUGCUCAGCUGAUUGUGGUGCGCGUAUGGAUUUGACAAAAACAGCCCAGUCUGGGUAUAUUCCAUCUACAAGAUAAUAACCUUUGGUAUAUUGCCUUCCAUUCACAAAGUAUUGCACCCGUGGAGCUUCUCCUCUUAAUUCCUUGACGAACAAAUCAGAAUGACUCAGCACAUUGAUGUCAUUGUUGGAUCCCGCCACUCCAAAGAAAGCAUGCCAUAUCCAUCGGUCAUGCGAAGCAACAGCCUCUAGAAUGAUGGUUGGUACACCAUGAUCACCACGAGUAUAUUGUCCCUUCCGUGCAUUAGGACAUUUUCCCCAAUGCCAAUGCAUACAGUCAAUGCUCCCUAACAUGCUAGGAAAACCACGACGCUCACCGAUCUCCAACAGGCGUUCAACAUCUUGUACUGUGGGGCGUCUCAAGUACUCUUCACCAUAUACUUCAAUGAUUCCCUUAACAAACUUUUUCAAGCACUCCACACCAGUACUUUCUCCCAUCUUCAGAUACUCAUCAAGCUGGUCUGCUGAGCCGCCAUAUGCUAAUUGACGGAUAGCUACCGUACACUUAUGAAUUGGUGAGAACCCGGGACGAUUCAGAGCAUCCGGUCAAGGUGAAAUACUCAUCCCAUCCACUCAAGGCCUCAACAAUCUUCAGAAGAGGGGUCUCCUCAUCCUAAAUCUUCUUCGAAACUGUGUCUCAUUGUAGACUAGAUUAAGAGAGAAGUAGUCAUCCAUUAGUUGCUGGCUGGCUUGUUCACGAGGCCUCUCCACAUAUCGCCUAGGACCACUCCGAGAUCCUCCACCUUGUAUGUCAUCAACAAUGGACUGCAUUUCAGCUACAAGAUAGUCGCCUAAAUCAUCUAGAAUUUCUUGCUCUUGAAGAUAGUCAUCCAUGGAGUACAGAUCAGCAGGGUCCAUGUUGCCAUCUCCAUCCAUGGCAGCAAAGGAUACCGGAGAAUAGUGGAAAGCAGAUUAGAAAGGGAAGCACUAGCAGAAAGGGGAGCAGUAGCAGAAAGGGGACUCAGAAUAGUGCCGUGGCUGUGUGCUAUAUAUAGUCACAAUUGCCGUGGCUGUAUCUAUUCACACUUGCAUGCACAAAACAAGUGGAAGGAGUUCACACUUGCCGUGGCUGUUUCAGUUUCACAAAAAUUAGUGGUCUCAUUUCACAAUUGGAAGGAGUUCACACUUGCAUGCAAAAAACUAAUCACAGGAAUUUAUAUAGCACUGACCAAAGGAUUUCAGUUACCUUACAUAAAUCACUUCCAUGGUCACAUUUGUUUUCACAUUGUAGCUAUUGCAUGAUCAAUUCUAGAAAAGGUACAAGUCCAUCAGUUACCAGUUCAUUGCAAUUGAAUAAGCAAUUAAAGAAGGGUUGACAGUGGCAUACAUUAGGAAAUAAAGCAAGUCUCAUGCUCUCUAGUGCCAAAUUUCUCUCAGCCAAAGCAUCUGCAUUAAGCUGAUCAUGAGGUGUAAGCAGUAGCUGUGUGUAAGUUUCCAGCAUUUUGCACUUCGUUUGUUCAUGAGCUGCUUCAUGACUAAUCUUAGCUGCUUCAAUCUUCUCAGCCAAACUUUGCUGAAUUUCUAUCAUCUUCUCUCUCUCUGCCCUAUUUUUGUUGCUUGCUUCAAUGAACUUGUCAAAUUUAUUGUUCAAAUCAGAUAAGGCGUCAUUUCCCUUUUUGUUGCCUUUCAAUUCUUUUUUGGCUUUCUUCUGUCCCAUUGGUCGCUUUUCUCCAUCUAAGUCCAAAUUCACCACUGCAGAUAGGUUACUGUUAGCCUUUGUACUCUUUUCCUUUUCCUUCUUUAACCUAGCAAUAUAUGCUGACCACUUCUGCUGACCACGUACUACCUUCCACAUAUGCAGCAGAUGGAAUGCCUUACCACUAUUCUGGCCAGCCCACAUCUCUAAUGCUUUGUCAGUCAACUGGUCAUCACUCAUCCCACUUUGCCAUACUCUAUCGGCAUUUACCCAAACGCCAUGAAAAUCAGUUAAUGGUUUCCUAGAGCGAUCCAAACGUAUUUUCAGUUGGUUUCUGUUCCUCUUACGGCUAGUUUCUGUGGUCUUGUUGUAUUCUAUAGUCACAUCUUCCCAAUACCGCUCUACCUUCUUGCCAUUUCCAUCGACUGGGUCCUUUGAAUUACGCAACCAGGCACUGGCCAAUCGUUUAUCUUUUUCAACGGUCCAGUUCAAACGCUUGUCGGUUCUAGCAUCGUCAUCGACAUUAAUUGAUUCAUCGUCUUCUGCACCUACAUCUUUCACUGCAUCAUGAGCUAGACCAUCUUCUUCUUCCGCUGGAGAAUGAGUUCUUGUAGCACCCAGGUCAAUUGGAGACACUAAAGACCGAUUCAUUGCAGCACCAACAAAGUGGAAAUUCUCUGAAAGAUUGGUUCCAUUAGGAUGGUUAAGAAAUGGGUUGGAAUGCAGAAGAUUUGAGAACCCUCCUUGAGGGUAUAACCUGCAACCAUAUUGUUUGUUGUGUGGUAAGGUUGUCUGUUAUUAUCGUAACUUCAGAGAAAACUGAAAGUAACAAUAUAGAGUGGCUCAAUCGUAACCAAAAAGGAAGAGGUGAUAUUAGCAGUCACCUAAUCUCUUCAAAAUGAGAGGAACACUAUUGGCAAAAGGCAUUCAAACUAUUAUCCAUGAAAUAUAUAUAUAUAUAUAUAUACUAAAUUACUAAAAUCCACAGAAUGCAUGCCAUAAAACACUUCAAGAGCAACACGCCGACAUGGCAAGUUGAGAACAACAUAUAGGAAAAAUAAUUGUUAUGAAAUUGGCAUGCCUAGCAACACCACGGCAUGUCAUUUAUGCAUAUAUACAUUCUGCACAUCUGUAACUAAAAUCUAAAAUCUAUAACUACAAUCUAUAAUCUAUAACUACAAAGAAGCUGUGACCAAAAUCUAUAACACCACGGCAUGCCAUCCACGCAAUUCAUCUAGUUAACACAGAAAGCUGUGACUAUAUAUAAAAUCUGUAACUACAAUGCGCAUAGACAAUCUGUGAUCCAUAGAAACGUAUUUCUGUUGACAUACCCUUCACUAGGAGAAGAUGUUGGCCACCAUCCACCAAAGGGGAAAGCACUGAUUGGAGAAGUGGUGACGGGAGCAGCAACACCUGCUGUUGCAGCGCUGCCAGCGGGAAGGCUCUGAGUUGCAGAAGCACCUGCGGCCGGAACACAGGUCCCAGGAGCACGGAUGGCCGGAGGUCGGGUUCCACGACCACCACUGCCCCGCCGGGAACUAGGCUUCGUCAAUCGAUUCAUCCCUAAUUCGAGAUUUGGGUAUGGAUUUGGGUUAAAGCUUGUUGGGGAGGAGAUCAGUUGGGGAGAAGAUUUGGGGAUGGAUUGGGCGUACCUUGAUUUGGAACUGGGUUCCUUUUGUACAGCGGCAACGAGCUGGAGAGCACGGGGGACGAGUCUGGAGAGCGCGGGGGACGAGCUGGAGAGCGCGCGCACGGGAGACCUUGCACGCGGGAAUCGGCGGGCUCCAGCUCGCGCGCGGGAGAAGCGGGAGGAAUUUUGGCGGCGGCGGCGGCAUGGCGUACUGGAUCCGUAGACUCGACCUUCCCCUCCCCCAAUGCGGAGACUGGUGGAGUCUUCCAGCCUCGAACGAAUCGAAGACUCGACGUCUAAAUAAGACGUCGUUUCUCCGUUUUUGCUCCUCUCUCCUCGUUAAAUUACUUGCCACAUCAUCCAAAUGCUUACAUGGCAGUGCAAUUAAUAGGGAUAGACUCCACGAUGAAGUCUGCAUUGUGAGUGCUCUAGGUGUUUGGUUCAAGUGAUUAAAAGUGACUAAAGUCCAUAAAUGCUGUGAGAAAAUGACUAUGCUGCCCUUCCCAGUUGCAAUAAAUGAGGGUGGGAGAGAGAGGGAGCAAUAAAUGAGGGACAGUAGGAGUCCAGAGAGGAUUUUAGUCACUUUUAGGAGGGGGUGGAGGGACUAGAUGAUUUGGAGCCUCGUAAAAGUUUUAGUCAAAUUUAGUCAAGGUGUUUAGCUCUUCAAUCUUUUUAGUCACCACUAAAAUUUUAGGGGGUGGCGACGAACAACCACUGGCUCCAAUAAAUUUGGCAGUGUGUCGGUGAAAAUAGAACCUUUUCAGCUGCACUGCAUUGUUGGCGGCCAGAAAUGGCCCAGGUGGCCUUUCGAUCGGAACCCGCAGCGAAUGGGUGAUGCACAAGUGGAGGCUGUGAUCUCUGACUUUGCAGUGUCUCUGGAUAUUUUCGGUCACUGCUUCACCGAUAGCACACUUCGGCCUUGUUUAGUUCACCUCCAAAUCCCAACUUUGGCACUAUGCAAAAAGAAGAUUCCCCAUCACAUCAAACUUGCGGUACAUGCAUGAAAUAUUGAAUGUAGACGAAAUUAAAAACUAAUUGCACAGUUUUGUUGUACUUUGUGAGCCGAAUCUUUUGAGCCUAAUUAGUCAAUAUUUGGACAAUAAUUCACAAAUACAAACGAAACGCUACAGUGUUGCUACAGUAUUUUUGGCACUCCAAAGUUGGGCAACUAAACAAGGCCGCAAGUUUUCUUUAACGUCUCAGAUCAGUGAGAACUGUGUGCCAGGCAUGUUUUUUUAGGACAGAAAGCGAACAAGCCAUCUCUGCAUGACUGCAUUCUUUGGGGCAUUUGCAAGAAUCCGCUCGAAUGAAAGUUAUGACAGUAUUUCUUGCUUUUUUUUAAUGGCAAGUCUGCAAUAACAAUAUGGAAUGGAAGACCAACAUAUAAAACAACUGUUAGCCAUUUUCCUAAUUUCUUCAUGGAACCAGGUGUAACUUGUCGGUUGGAGGCGCCAAUCCUAAGUUUUUUCGAACAAAAUUUGUAGAGUAUAUACAUGAGGUGGUUCCAAUGUUCCAUUGCUAUACGAUUAAACUUGAUUCGCACGCUUAACUACUAGCCUACGUCUACUACUCCCUCCAUCCAUUUAUUGGCGUCAUUUUACUCUCUUGCGCGAUGACCAAGGGAGGGUUGAAGGAGGACCGAUUAUCAUUUAAUCGCGGUUGGUAGAGAACUCGGUAUUAGUCCCGGUUGGUAGGGUGUAAAUCUUCCGAAAAUCCAUCCAGGAUAAACCAAUCGAGACAAGGGGGGUCUUUUAUCCCGGGUUACUCAACCGGGACCAAAGACCCCCUUUUAUCCCGGUUGGUAAUACCAACCGAGAUAAAACGGGUCACCACGCCAGGCGCCGCAAAAAAAAAAUCCCGAGAGGCUCCCUACACGCGCACGUCGCAAGCCACAAGUCACACGAUUUUUCACGCUGCGUGGGAUUCGAACCCACGACCUCCAGCCUCGCGCGUAGCUUACUUGCCAUCCCACCUAUACAUCACAUUUGAAUAUAUAGGGGAUGCAAUCCUUUUGUAUUAACUCGUGUGGACCCUUUUAUCCUAGUUGGAAACACCAACCGGGAUAAAAGACCCCCUUUUAUCCCGGUUGGUAUUACAAACCGGGAUAAAAGGGUUCGAGGGAUUUACUCCUCUUUCAGCUACCCCGUUGGUCCAACCGGGAUAAAAGAAAAGAUCCCCUUUUAUCCCGGUUGGUAUUACAAACCGGAAUAAAAAGGUUCAAGGGAUUUACUCCUCUUUCAGCUACCCCGUUCGGGACCCUUUUAUCCGGGUUUGAAACACCAACUGGGAUAAAAGACCGGGAUAAAAGGCCCUCGACCCUUUUAUCUCGGUUGGUGUUACCCUUUUAUCCCAGUUGGUAUUUCAAACCGGGAUAAAAGGCCUCUCAGGAUCUUUUUUUUCCACUAGCCUUUGCAACCGGGAUAAAAGAUCCUGGUUGGUGAGCCCCCCGCCAGUGACCGAGCUUUAGUCCCGGUUGGUGAACCUUUUGUCCCGGGUCAACUUUAAACCGUGAUAAAAUGGGGCAUAUGGAAAGUGAGUUCUCUACUAGUGCGUUUUGUACUAAAUGCACCGUGGGCUGUUGGGUUUCCAAGUAAUCUCUCCGCUAACACCGCUCAAAAUGGCGUUAUUGCGCGUCCGCGGCCAGCACGCACGCUUGCCAUCCGCGGCCCUUCCGUUUUCCAUUUUGCCGCGUGAAAAUUGCCGAGAUCAUCUCCUUAUUUGCCGCUGUCAUCCUUGAAGUCAGCUUCACUGGGGUAUACACGGCAUCAGGUUCCAUAGACUUCAGUGAUGUCCAUCUGGGAGUCCGGCACCUCAGUCUCACCUGCAAAAGUAUCCAUCACGAACUGCACCUCGCAUGUUGGCCAUGGGGUCUUCAUCUUUGUUGGUAGAAUUUGGUGCCCAGUUGACACCACGCACGUAAUGGAUCUCAUCGUUGUCGUCUUGGCGUUCCAUCGCAUGCAGGCAUGCAGCAGUGUGGCGGCGUGGAGCCACUCGGCGUUGCGGCGACGUGGAUCGACUCGGCGGCGCGGAGGUGUGGUGUGCUGGACACUUUCACGAAGGCUAAUGGGAGGGAAUGGAGGCGGUAUUUGAAGCAAUGGGAAGACAGCGCCGCAUCAAUUGCCACAUUUUGUAUGAGGAGCCGCGAGCGCCUAGGGACGAGGUCCGUAGCUUAAACGACGCCGACUCUUGGAAAACUUUUUUUUUUCUCAGAUGACUCCGAUAAAUGGACCGAGGGAGUAUUUCCUAAUAUCAGAGUUGUUACCCGAAUGUGAAAUAAUUGUGCAAUUAAACUUCAUCCAAAUCCACAUAAAAAUUACAAACUUACCAUAAAUUGGCCUUGGUUCUCAUGUGGAAGAGGUUUGCGGCAAGGGACCCCUAUCCCCUUAUCUCUUUCUGUUGGUCGCCGAUGUCCUCCAGAAAAUGGCCAAGCAAGAUCCUAGGAUCCCACACUCGGCUGCCCCAGGCCAAUCAUGCCCCGUUUUGCAGUAUGCAAAUGACAUGCUCAUCCUUCUCAGGGCGGACAUGGCUAGGCUGUCGGCGCUGAAGGAAGUGCUCGACGUAUUCUCUCUAGCUACCGAGCUGCACAUCAAUUAUCACAAAAGCACCAUGGUGCCAAUGGGUGUGCCGGCUGCGAUCAGCACUGCUCGCCCAGUUGAGUUUAGCCCUCUUCUCAUUUUUGUUUACCUGCAGAGUCCUUGGUGGAAGGAAUAUAUGAUCUGAGAAAAAUGAAGCGAUUUGUGCUAAAUUGACAUACCAGUUUACUAGUCCUUCAUACUUGCACAUGUGUUCUUUAUAUGUUGAAGUGCGUGGUAUUUGUUCUUUAUGUGCGUGAGAAAAAAAUUGAGUAUAUUGUGUAAGAUAGGAGUUGCAUGGUGUGAAUCAUUUUAGCCGUCUUCUCAUUUUGAGUAUGUUGGUGCUGGUCGAGAAGGAUUAAGCUUAUAUGUAAUAGCACGUGCCUGAUACCCUGAGGAUCAUGGAGUAAUAUUCUGCUACUUUGGAUAAUAUCUUGAUAAUAUAUGCAUACAGCUGCUCUGUCUCCCGCCGUUGCUAUGUUCUCUGCUCUGUCCAGCAAAUAGCUCCAGCAGCGCCUGCCCAAAUAGCUCCAGCAAAUAGCACCAGCAGGAGCAAAUUAACUCUGCGAGCAAUUUCCAAAUAGCACAGGGGCUUUCUUCCCCGGCAGGAUUCACAUGUACUAGGAAAUUCCCCACGGAGCUUUCUUCCCUGGGGUUAAUUUAUUCCUGCUGCCAAACUAGCCCUUAUAGUCGUCUGUCUCUCCAAAGUCCAAAGAAGUUGCUAAAUUAGGCCUUGAUUCGAGUGGUGCUACGUCUUCAUGCUCAAGGGUAAAGCUCAACCAAAAGGAAGCAUCAUUUUUUUUUCUAAACAAAACUGUAUAUAUCAGUGCAUCUUUUGUUGUUACUGAUGACCUGGAUCAGUGCAUGAUAUGAGAGUGUUCAGUGAUGCACUUAAGAAAAUAUGGUGACAAGUUUCCACAUCCUCCUACAGGUAUAAUAAUUUAUCUUCGUUUGUACAAAUAUGUUGUCUAUUUCAGUUACCUAACAAGUUUAUAUUUAUUUGUAGGCAAGUUUUACCUUGUUGACUCGGGGUAUCCUAACCAUCCCGGUUACCUAGCACCGUACAAUGGUACGAAAUAUCAUCUAUCGGAGUUUCGUAAUGGCCCAAUGCCGAAAGGUAUGAAAGCAACAUUUAAUUACGCACAUUCAUCCUUUACAAAUGUGAUAGACAGGUUCUUUGAAAUAUAAAGAUGAAGUGGAGAAUAUUGUUGGGUAUACCUAGUUUCCCAAUGCACAAACAAAGCAAAAUUAUUGUAGCGUGCAUGAUAAUUCACAACUUCAUUAGAGAGAAUGGUAUUGCCGAUAGGGAAUUUGAUUUGUGCGAUCAAGAUGAAAAUUUGUCCAAUAGGUCAGCCAUCAAAUUCUGAACAACAUGAGACGGAGACACAAGCAAGGGAUGAAGACAAUAAUAUAAAUGCAUUCCGAGAUGAACUAGCUCGUGCCAUGUACAACAGAUCUUAGCUAGUGAUUUGAGUGUUGUAAGAAUAAUGUACUUUUUCUUUAAUUUCGUGGUUAAUGGACAUGGUAAUAAACGAUGGAUAUUUUGCAUCAAUUAUGGAUAUUUUAACCGGAGAGAAAAAGAGAGGAAGGGAGCUCCUGCAUGCAAAGAACGGGCCAGGGGGCUCGUGCAUGCGACUGCAUGCAUGCAUGCGCAACGAGCGAAAGGGGCAAGGGCGCAAGGAAACCAGCGAGCAUGCACGGGAGAGGGGCAGCGCGCGGAAACUGAGGGAGGGGCAGCAGGGUAAAAGGAACAAUUUUCACAUCAAGUGUUAAACUUUAACUCCUCACCUAAACAUCGUGCUUGCUAAAAUUUAUCCCAUUUGUUUGAAGCACAGUUAUUGGGACCGGACCGGACCGGCGGUCCGACCAGUAAAAGACCGAACCAGAGCCUCGGCCGGUUCGGUCCGCCUAAAAGAUCGGAUAAGCAAUCGAACCGGAAAAAACCGAUUAAACCGGUGGUUUUUAGCAAGAAACCGAUAUAAAACCGACAAGAAACCGGUACAGACCGGAGAAAACCGAGCGCAAGGAGAAAAAACAGCGCGUAGGGAAGAAAAUGGGAGGAAAAAUGGCGUGGCUGGGGUCCGAACCCCCACCCUUGCCUUCGGCAAUGUGGAUAGCAACCAUCAAGCUGCAGUUGUGUUUGUGAUUUUAGUUGAUAAGUUACCAUAUUUGAACCGUGUUGAACCGGUGGUUCAACUGGUUGAACCAAUCAAACCGCAAACCGAGAGCUUGACCGGUUCAUUGUCUGGUCCGGUUCUAAUAACUAUGGUUUGAAGGAGCCCGUUCCUCCCAAACAAGGCUUAACUCUGCGGGCAAUUUUCAAAUAACACAGGGGGUUUCUUCCCAGCUAGCAAAUUCCCCAAUGGGAUUCACAUCUAGGAAAUUCCCUACCGGACUUUCUUCCGUGGGGUUAAUUUAUUCCUGCUGCCAAACUAGCCCUUGUAGUCGUCUGUCUCUCCAAAGUCCAAAGAAGUUGCUAGAUUAGGCCUUGAUUCGAGUGGUGCUACGCCAAGGGCAAAGCUCAACCAAAAGGAAGCAUCCUUUUUUGUAAACAAAACUGUAUAUAUCAUGUUGUGCUAUGAAUCUUACAAAUCCUAGAUUCGACACUUCUCGUUGUUUAACCGCGAUUAACUUUGAGUGUGUUUUGACUUGGCUGAACCAUGCAUGCAUGCAUCUGGAUUAUUACUGCUCCUGUUUACACAAGCAUUUCAGUUCAUCAGCUGAUGACUCGCUGCAAAAAUGGUGCAGGGCCUGCUGCAGUACUUCCGGCUGCUGGAGGACUGCCUGGACCUCAUCCGCGACCGCGAGUCCCGGGGCAACUUCACCUACGCCGCCGUCCUCCGCACCCGCGUCGACGGCUUCUGGUCUGCGCCACUCCGCCUCGACGACCUCCUCCACGCCGCCAACACCACCGCAAACGACGACGCCUACUACGCCGUCCCGAAGGGCUCCCGCUUCGGCGGCCUCAACGACCGCCUGGGCUUCGGCGGCCGGCGCGCCACGGAGGCCGCGCUCUCCCGACUCUCCAUGCUCCCUCGCCUCGCCGCCGCGGGGUACCACGGCCUCAACUCCGAGGCCGCGUUCCGCGCGCAGCUCGACGUGGCCGGCGUCGCGGGCCGCGAGCGCCGCCUCCCGUUCUGCGUCCUCAGCGACCGCGUCUACACAUUCCCGCCCGUGGCGGGGUACUGCGUCCCCGUGGCGUCGCUGGCGAGCUAGCCCCGACCCGCUCAGCGGUGCCAAGUGCCGGUCGUGCCGCGGCGCGGAGCGUCGACGCGCUGGAGACUGGGUGGAGCUGGAUCGAGCACCGGAACGGGGCGGCCGUGGAGCUCUGUGACACGUCCGGGCCAUGGAUAAUAUUAACAUAUCAUGCUUGUUUGCAGGAAAUUCAAGGGUGGAUGGUUAGUGUUGGUCUUGGUCGGCACCUAAUCAGGCAUCAUAUCGGUCUUUGGUGUACGUUGGCUGUUGCCCCAUCACACCAACAUCGAUCUCAUCUCGAUCGAUCUGACAUGCGUCCCCAUCUUGCUUCCUUUCUGCUCAGUUUACGCCUCCUCGAUCGAUCGAUCCUAUUUUGUCCAAAGCAUGGUUUGGGUACUUGGUAGUGAGCAGCGCACAUUAGGAGCAUUUGGGUUUCUUGGAAGCUGCGGCGCAUGGUGGCACACCAACAGAACAAAAACCAUUCUUCGAUCAGCGUUCUAGGUUGGACUGACUUGGGGAUGGUGGAUCGAUCUCAGGCAACAAGGACAAUUGAGGGAGCUGGCCACUCAGUGGCCAUGGCUGCUCAUUUGCCAGCAGCCCAAUCGAAACGAGUACUAAGCGGCUGCGUGAAGCAACCCCACUUCUUCCCUCGCGGUCCUUCAGUUGCAUGACAUUACGUCUCCAUCCAGGUCAUGUUACCUGUCCUUCCGGUGACAUGACAUUGUGUGCGCCCCGAACAAUGAUCUGGAUCCUCAGCUCGACGAGGGGCCCGGCCGGCAGGACGAUGGUGCACGGCGGGCGUGUUCCGGCUCAAUGCCGUCGCCACAGCACGGUUCAAUUGGACGCCGGCGCCGGCGCCGGCGCCGACCGCGCAGCUCGUGCUCCGUCGCGCCGCUAGCUCGCGCAUAUGUAACCGACCGAUAGAUACAUAGGAGGAAGCCGCCACUUCGCCGCUCCUGCACACCUGACCUCUCGCCGCCUCCGCCGCCGCCUCUCCUUGCCGGUCGUGGGUCUCCAGCGUCUUCGUCGGUAAGGCACCUCAUCACCUUACAAAUCCCCCGAUCUAUCCUCACAGAGGUCGCCAUGUCCGCCGAUCAUCUAAUUUAAUUUCCCGAUCUGCUGCUGUCUCAAGGUCGCCAUGUCCGCCGCCGCCGCCGCCGGGGGGUUCCCCAACUGGGUGCUUCUGGAGCCCUACGUCUUCCGCAGGGACGAUGACGAGUCCUUCCCGGAUGAGACCCAUGCGCCCAUCAGGGCGUCCGGCACCACCUCCUGGGGCGCCGACUUCCGCAUCGCCUUCUCCCUCGCCGAGCCCCCGCUCAUCUCCCGCCUCUACGCGCAGCUGCCGGGCGUCCCGGGUCCCCGCAAGGCGAGGCCCUUAGCCAUGCUGAAGACCCACCGCCAUCUUGCCCUGCUCGUCGUCAUCUCCCCGACGUCUGAUCAACCUGUAAUUCACGACUUCUUCAUCUUCAGAGCCGACGAGAACAACCCUUCCUCAUCAUCCUCGCUUAGAUUGCUCCCCCAUUGUACCGACACCAAGUUUGAUUAUUCCCGCCGCGAUCACCGCCUACCUCGUCGUCGAUCUUCCAGUGCUACUCCCCGCCUGCUGAAUAUGCAUUCCUUGGGCCUAUGGUGCGGAGACAAAGAGGAGUUCGUGGUGGCACAGCUCAAUCUUUGCGUACCCACCAUUGGCCGCAGCCGCAUCAAGGCCUUCGCUGACAUCUGCUUGCUGCGCUCCUCCGAUCAGCUUGGCGGCAAUUGGGAGUCCAUGCGUGUGCCAAUCCUCAACCCCUCUGCUGAUGAUCUCUGGAAACUCUCCCAGUGGCAGAACACCGCCAUCAUCCCCUUCCAACGAUGGCUGUGCUGGAUCGACUACAAACGAGGCAUCCUCUUCUGCGACGUGUCCGGUAAAGUGCUCGCCCCUACCGUCUCCUUCCUCUGGUUCCCUGAGGACAAGCCCUCUCUUACCAGAACCCGCAAAAUAACCAUGUGCGGCACCAUCGCUGGCAUGUCUGUCGUCGACCACGGCCGUUUGCUCAAGUUCGUCAAGGUCGCCCGCGAUGAUGGCCGUUACUAUGAAGCGCUCAAACCCGGCACUGGCUUCACCAUCACCUGCCACACCCUCGUGUUAGCAGGCGGCAGCAUGGCGUGGAAGGAGGACUACACUGUCACCUCUGGUGACCUCCCUGACUGCUACCAACGCGGCAUCCCCAUGCACCCUCAAGUUGACAUUGACAGGCCGCAUGUGGUGCACUUCCUUUUCAUUGAGUUUUUUGGUUUAGCCUACGAGAAGAUGUCGGUGCUCUCCAUUGACAUGAGCACCAAGACCAUGGUGUCAUGUUAUCUGUAUAUGAAUGGGAAUGAGAUCCUUCGCCGUGGCGAUAAGUGCUGUCAACCCGACGUCGACAUUGACUUCGUCAUAUCAAAGUGCUUGGCUCCCUCUCCAUUGCCCUUCCCUGCUUGUGAGUUCCCCAGGUUCUGCAAUUUAUCAAGGUAUGUACUAUUGCUGCUGCAUGCCCUUUUAUAAAUAACUCAAUAGAUUUUGAUUCUGCCGGCCGGUUCCAUAUUUGAAUAUUGCUGCAAAAGUUUGUGUCCAUGGCUUCAAUCUUGCAUUGUUGGCAUCUCAUAUGUUGUAGUAUAGCCUCUUUCUCCAACCUGCAGAAUACUAGCGUAGCCUGCAGCCUACUAAACAUUUGAGCCUUGAAGCUUAUGAUUGGAACAUAAGAGCUGCCUGCCAAUAUAUAUAUGCCUUCUUUUAUAUGCUGUUGGAAAUUACUAGCAGUUAAUUGGAAGUCAAGUAUACUACCUUGUCUGUUUUUUUUGCAAUUCUUUCCUAAGUAAACAACUUACUUCGGCUGUGCAUUGCUAAUCCUUCUCUUGGUCGCAGUACAGAAGCAAGUUUAAUUUGAACAUCUUCCAUCUAGUUCAUUUUUAUUUAAUAUUUAUUUAUUGCAGGAAGAGGAAGGAUAUGGAAUAAUGAGUCACGGCUGCCAAUAGUACUUCAUCCUACUUGUCGUGCUUUCUUCUAAAUGGUCAAAACUGAAGAAAGGCUUCUGUCCUGAUCUCUCGUCAACAAAACUGAAGGAGCUAUUUUGUGUUGUGGCCUAGGAAGCAUCUAUAUAUCUUAUGGUCUUUACUUUCAUGCUGUAUGAACGGAUAAGUUAGUUGUAUCAAGUCUAUCGUGUGUUCUGUAUGGUCGUCAAAAACAAGUUCGUCGUGUGUCCUGCUGUUUUAAGUACAAUCUUUAAGUUUGCUUGUGUUUAAUUUACCACGCACGAAUACCAGAGACUGCUUUGUGAUCGUUCCUGGAUGGAUCGUCUUGUACCCUCUACUAUAUGCCGCUGCUGUUGCAUCAUGCAUUGCAACAAGAAUUGCUGUUGUUGCUGGCUCGAAGCUACUCCAAGUCUUGGGGUUGAUCUGUAAUAGAAAAGGAUAGGGAAUUGGUGAAAACAUAUUUAGAUAAGCACCAGUCAGCACACACAAUACAAGUAAAAACUCGGAAAGGUACAAAAAUUAGUGAAAGUGGCUAAAUGUCAUAGUUACUGACUUAGGUGCAAUUACAAACACAUGUCAUAGUUACUGACUACUUAGGUAGGAUUCUCAAUGCAUAUGCUCUGUAAAUAAUUACAUAUCAUUACUCACCUAAGGAUUACUGUUGAGUAAACCUAUCACAGAGCUGCUUAUUGUAAAAUGCUAAAGCACUAGGAAUUCUGCUUCUGACCAAAUCAGGGAUGAUUCACUAUUUCUAAAUGGAAGUCAGAUACUUAAAAAAAAACUUUUGCCUGCAGUAAUACUAACAUCGUAUGAACAGGGUACUCAUCCAUAAGAUGAAGUUUGACAGACUAGGAUUAUAACAUAAAGGUUACUAAAACUGACACGUGCAUAAUUACUAACACCAAUACUGGAAAUCAAGGGCAUGUUUCAAUGUUGGCCCCAAUUGGCCAAGGCAAAGCAUGGGCAAUUUGGCAGCUGAUUUGGCUGCCCCCAUUUGGCCAGUCUUCGCGGCAAAAAUAAAUUGCAGAAGUCCGGUCAAGCCAAAUCGGCACCAUCAUGCAAACAUUGCUGAUACCCACGGCCAAUGGCCAAAUUUUGGCCAGGCCACUUGGGUUGGCAUCCAAACAUGCUCCAAAUAAUGCACAACCAUGAAGGCCACUUUACUAGCAAUCAGAGGAUAAACAAUAGACUAUAACCUUUUGCUGCUGGACAAAAACUAAUAUUUCAUAACAGGAAUUUAGGAAUAUCAAUAUUGGCACUGCUCUACAUCAAAUUAGGCAGCAUAUAACACAUAAUAAUCUGUAACUGUUUAGAACACAAUAAGAAGGCGAGGGUGAAAAAUUGACAUUUAAUUUACGAUUGGGGGGGGGGGGGGGGAAAGGAGAAAGAUAUAUCUACUUCACCAUGCUCUGGUUGGUGUAGCUACAUUCAAGGAAUUCAUAUCUAAGAAAAAUCAGUUGUACCCACAGCAAAGUAGAAAAGGACGAGUCUACCGACAGAUAUUUUUGCCUGUACCUGCCUGUACCCAGGACAAAAAAAAAAAGAUCAGGCAUACACAGAUCUUCGAACUACUGUCUACAGUUUUUUAAUACUAUGAAGAACUACUCUGGAAGCUCUACCCAAAAGAAGAUGUGUGCAAUAAGCAUUUACUUACCAACAUUCUCGCAGUCUUAAAAUCAUAUAUCAUGGGAUGUGAGUCACAUGUUGAACCUUCCAAAACCAGUGAAAUGAGUAUACUUAUUUUAAGUACCUGUCAGUUAGUACCAGUACCAUGAUGACCCCUUUCAUUCGCACUGCAUCAUUCAUUGGAUACUUAUUUUAAUAUAGAGCCAAUUAUUUUGAUGAAGAUGGAAAAAAAGAUCCAAAAGCCUAAAGCAUCAAUAAAACAGCGGCUGAGGUGGGCACCUAUAUUUCAGGGAACAAUAUUUGCAGAGCUACGGGGAGAACCACGACAAUACUAAUUUAAAUGGUGUUUCUUUGCAGUGUCCUUUUCUGAGAUCCAACAUAAGCAUGCUAAGUGAGUUUUGUUCUGAGAUGGACACUGAAUAAACUACAUAUGUGGAACAGGUGGUACCUUGAUGCUAUGAAACCCUGGUAACUUUCGAAAUUAGCUUGUGAUGGCGAGCUGCUUCAUGAAAAUCUUUACACAGGAAAAAGAAACAAUGUGAAAGGAAUUCUCAAUCUGAAUUAGCCAUAGCUGGUGUCGAUUUGUUCGGCGCGCGCCACACCCUUGGAUAUUUCAGCGGUGACAAUGGUGCAGAUCACUGGAUUUUGGCAAGGGGAAGAGCAAGCAUCCUUUCACCACCAGAGACUUCAGUGUUAAAAAUUCAUCAUCAUAGGCAGUACAGUUGGUGUCUAGUUCUAGAAGAAAUUAGAGACUGCAUUUCACCACUUGUUUCUGCUAAGCAUGCUAAAUUUAAACAAAAUCAAAAUGCAUCAAACCUGAUAUGCAUGUCUCUCAAAGGUUGAAGCUUGGAAUAAAAAUCAUCCGAUUAGUGCCCUCGAAUCAUAGCCCUGAAGAUUGAGGCUUCGUAUAAAAAGCAUCCCAUUAGUGCCUUGGUCUGGAUUUCAGCUUGGCUGCACUGUUAAUUCAGAAUAAACAAUAUUACCGCAGCUAGAUGACCUUGAUAGGCCUUUCUUCUUCAUCUUCUUUCUCCAUUUUACUUCCUAAACAGUGUUGGCUUGACCUAAUUGGAUGGCAAAAGCCGGUGCAUGUAUGUGCACGUUGUGUUGUUGGAGAUGAAUGAACAGGGAGGAACAACAAGAACUCACAGUACAUGCCGACCAUCAAGGUAGCAGCAUGUCGUGAAGCUGAAAGCCGGAACGGGUGGGUACUCGCGCCGCCGUCCAGUCUGCAAGCCGGACCUUGACGGGCAUCACUGCAAGCCGGAGGCCGGUGGCCGGCGAUAGCCGGAUCCCCUAGAGCACCAGAGGUGGUGGUCGGCGGCGAGCAAAGGGAUUGGACGCGGUGAGUGGUCCGGAGUCUGGCGGCGUCAAGCAGACAUGUGGGCCUUCGACUAAUUGGACCUAAUGCCAAACAUAACAGCUCACAGGCCCAAUUGGCGCAACAGGCCCACCUACUCCUUUCUUCUUCCUUGCCUCAACGCCGCCAACUCCGGCGUACUCGUUUCGACGGCAAGAUGCCCGGCGAGGAGGAGGAGAACGCCGCCGAGCUCAAGAUCGGCGAAGGUUCGCUCUCCUUCUCAUAUCUCUCUCUCUCAAGCUUUCCCCCCUUGCUUAUGCCUCCCGAAACACCCAAUCCCGGGCGGCUAGGGUUUCGUCAGGUAAAGCUUAUCGCCGCCGCGAUGCGGAACUGACUGACCCCUUUGCCAUGAUUGCGGCGGCGCAGAGUUCCUGAAGGCCAAGUGCCUGAUGAACUGCGAGGUGGCGAUCAUCCUGGAGCACAAGUACGAGCAGAUCCAGCAGCACGCGUCGGAGUCGGACCCGUCGUCGCAGGUGUCGCAGGUGUUCGAGAAGUCGCUGCAGUACGUGAAGCGCUUCAGCCGCUACAAGAACCCCGACGCCAUGCGCCAGGUCCGCGAGACGCUCAGCCGCUACGGCCUCGCCGAGUUCGAGCUCUGCACGCUCGGCAACCUCUGCCCGGACACCAGCGGCGAGGCCACCGCGCUCGUACCAUCCCUCAAGUCCGGGGGGAGGUUCGUCGGUACCUGAUAUGCAUGUUUCUCAGAACAACUUAUGCAUUUGAAGUACUCAGGUUCGGGUCGGGUAUCAACAUCUUUGCCACCGGAUGUAGUUUGCUCUACUUCUGCCACUCCUCUAUCUUCUAACACAUUUGAAGAUACAAUGAGCUGAAUUAUUGGUGACAGGCAAUGAUGUAGCACACAGAGUAUUCAAGUAACAAAGAGCAUCCUAAAAAAUUAUGAGGAUCCUAAGUUGAUAUUCAGCUUCAAGAUUACCCAAGCUAAAUGUACCUGACAUUGCCUGCCUCUAAAUCUGCACUGACGUAUCUCAGCAGCCAUUUCUUCUUUUCACCUGGACCUGGCACUGCAACAGCGCAGGUUGCCAAUAAUAGGAUACCAACCGAAGUGGUCUGUGCAGGUUAGAGGGUAUGGGAGGUUUGGACUUAAAUAGAAUCGGAUGACCAAACCUAAUUGGAUGGCAAAAGCAGGUGUAUGUGCACGUUGUGUUGGAGAUGAAUGAACAGAGAGGAACAACAAGAACUCACAGUACAUAGCGACCAUCAAGGUAGCAUGUCGUGAAGCUGAAAGCCGGAACGGGUACUCGCGCCGUCGCCCAGUCUGCAAGCCGGACCUCGACGGGCAUCACUUCUCUAGGCCGCUGGAGGCGUAGGGCAUGGCGAGAGGAGCAAGCUCUGCAUUUCAACAGCAGGAUCUUUAGAAAAGUUUGGAAGGAUUUUAGCAAAAAAUUGGCAUAAUCAGCCGCACAAAAUUACAAAUCGACGCUGGAGAGGAGCGGGGCGCAGGAGCCGCGAGGCUGGGGUCGCCGGUCGCCGCCUGUCUCGACCCGGAGUGCGGGCUGGCAGCGGCGGCGGGUGGGGCGCCUGGGGUUGCCCCGCCACUGGCCGCUGGCGCCGCGCCCCCACGCCGUCGGGAGGCUGGGCCCGCGCCGCCUGAGGCCGAGCCCCCGCGCUGCAGCCCCGCGCCCGCGCGGCCGAGCUGGGGCCACGGCCAGUCAUCAAAGAUGAGGUAGAGGCGGCGCUCCUCCAGACGCUUUGUCACCGUCACCGCGUCGACGCUUUAGCGAUUGCAUCUCGUUCUUGUUCCUUGCUCGAUCGUCGCCUUCUCGUCCUCUCGUCACCAACUGCCGCCCCACCACGCCGAUGGGGGCCGGCGGCGGCCCGACCUGCCCACGCGCCGAAGCGGCCGGCCUGCUGGCUGGCGGUGGCGGCGCCAUCGAUCCCGACACGCGUCAACCAACCACGUACGCCCAGGACCCGAGGCCCAGUCGAAGUGCCACGCGGAAAAAAGAAUCGAGGCCCAUCUCAUUCUGGACUGAGCCCAAACCAUGUUUUAUAUGGGUCUCACCGUCCUUGCCGAGCCGGCCCACUGCAUAGCCCGCCGCCGCCAUCACCAACCUCCCGCUCGUCUUGACCCCUCUCCUUCCCUUCCGUCGUCGAGUCCAACUCCGGCGCAUUCGUUUCGAUUGGAAGCGGCAAGAUGUCCGGCGAGGAGGAGGAGAACGCUGCCGAGCUCAAGAUCGGCGAAGGUUCGCUCUCCUUCUCAUAUCUCUCUCUCUCUCAAGCUUUCCCCCCUUGCUUAUGCCUCCCGAAACACCCAAUCCCGGGCGGCUAGGGUUUCGUCAGGUAAAGCUUAUCGCCGCCGCGAUGCGGAACUGACUGACCCCUUUGCCAUGAUUGCGGCGGCGCAGAGUUCCUGAAGGCCAAGUGCCUGAUGAACUGCGAGGUGGCGAUCAUCCUGGAGCACAAGUACGAGCAGAUCCAGCAGCACGCGUCGGAGUCGGACCCGUCGUCGCAGGUGUCGCAGGUGUUCGAGAAGUCGCUGCAGUACGUGAAGCACUUCAGCCGCUACAAGAACCCCGAUGCCGUGCGCCAGGUCCGCGAGACGCUCAGCCGCUACGGCCUCGCCGAGUUCGAGCUCUGCACGCUCGGCAACCUCUGCCCGGACACCAGCGGCGAGGCCACCGCGCUCGUACCAUCCCUCAAGUCCGGGGGGAGGUUCGUCGGUGACGCCGGCAACGAGAAGAUUGAGAAGAUGCUCAACGACCUCUCCCUCAUCAAGAAGUUCGAGUAGAGAGUGCCAUGGGCGUGCCUUGUUCUGUUCUUCAGUUUCCCUAGCUGUGUGAGACUUAUCUUAUCAGGCAACGAUGGUAGUAGGAUUUCCUACCGAUCAUCAAUGUUACAGUCAACUUCAUCUGCCUCAAUCCUGAAUUCCUGAUGUAUGCUUAUCCAAGUUAAGAGCCCAAUUGAUCUUUGUUUGUAAUUCUGCACGAAAAGCCUGAAAUUGAGCUGAUGAGUAUUCCUUUGAUGAUGGAUGCUUGGCUCGGUUUCCAGUUCUUUGGACUUGUCAUCCAGUAGCAGUGCAGUGUUAUUAAAUGUUGGUAACUUGGUAUAAACAUGAAGCUCAGCGGCAAUCCACUCCAAGCAAAGCCUUGGAGGAUUCUUGAUAUAACUGUCUCACUUUUAGUUGGAAAUCCAAGCAGAGCCUGAUUUCUGAACCACAUCCGUGGUGCUUACCACAGCCCAGAAUGCAAGAACCUCACAUCUUAUUAUAUGCAGUCCCUGGCUAUGAGACUUAGAGGCUUUCGAGGUGCAGAUAGCUUUUCACAUUAUCUUGAUCUGUUCUGGCAAGAGCCCUGAUCAUGGUAUAUUAAGGGAACUCUGUUAUUUUCAUAUGUUUAUGAAUAUAAUUGUAUUUUGUUCAUAAUUCUGUCCAAAAAGGCCUCCAUUCAGGUAAUUGAACUGAAGAGCAAGCCUCUGAAGAAUGCCCCCAGGUAAAGAGAACAGUUGGUUUUCUGUUCCGUGAUGCAACCUAUAUUACGGAAUAUACCAUGCAUGUGAAUAUGAAUAGAACAUCCUGCAAUUCAAGCAGGCAAACUGAGCCUGAUUCUGAACUUCACUUCACAAUGAUUUCAAGACAUCUGUGACACUACAGUAACUGCACAGCAGAGACACCAAGAGGCACACAUCUUCCCUCACAUCUCCUUCCUCACAGCCCUCUUUGCCAACAAACCCAACUCGUUUAUAGAUCUGUCAGGGGGAGGGGGCGUCGUGUCCAGUACCGCCGGCGAGGCUUCGAUGGCCGGCCUUUUCGAAGGAGAAGAGGAUGGCUGUUCCGGCCGGCCAUCCGGCCGGUCUCUUCGAAGGAGAAGAGGAUGGCUGUCCUGGCCUUCUUGAAGUAGAAGACGACGAGAUGUCGAAGGAGAAGAGUAUGAGUAGCAUCUCCAACUUCUUCAAGGACAACAGAUCUGCGUAAUUUCUUUGUCUUCCAUCUCGAUCAAAAAAUACUUUCGUUGAUUCUGUCUUUCGUUGAUUCUGCUUCAGGCGAAUUGUACGCUUGGCUUCCGUGCGACUCAUUCCGCACCUGCCUCGGUUUAUCCGCAGACGGGCCGCCUGCCUAUCCGCAGACGGGCUGCCUGCGCAGGCCGCGCCUGCCUGUGGUUUCUCAUGUGCCGAAGGAGCCCACGUUGCUCAUGACUAAGGCUCGCGUCGUCCUCGCUGCUCCUGCUCCGUUUGUCCGAGUAAGUGUGCCCGUCCCAUAUAAAAGCUCUUGACUGUUAGUACCGAAAACCCUAACUCCUACUGUUUACUUCCUUCUAGCUGCCGCAUCUGAAAACCGGAGUAGAGACGCCGUCCGAGUGCCGAGGAGCCCGAGGAGCCCGGGAAUUGGUGCUGGGUGGGCAGAGUAGAGGUGAAGUGUCGCCACCGUUCGAGCUGCCGCCGGAUCUGUGAGUUUUAUGUCUCCAGCCUCAUAGAUAGGUGCUGGUGGGUGCUUGUAGGUUAGAGCGUCCGGAUAUGUAGGUUUCCUGUGAGUAAGAAUCUUCUCCAGCCUCAUAGAUGGGUGCUGGUGGGUGCUGGUAGGUUAGAGCGUCUUAGUCAAUACGCAAUAACUGUUAGCUAACAGUUUGUAUACCUGUAAGUGUGAAACCCUAACUCCUACUGUUUAUUUCCUUCCAGCUGCCGCCUCGUGAAAACCUAGGCGGAGUAGAGGUGAAGUGCCACCAACAUCUGAGCAGCCGCUGCGGUCGGUGCCAUUUGUCUCAUGGCUCAAUUACCAUUGGAACCAGGUUUGUGUCUUUUUUCUGUUUAGAUUAGUCAAUUAUAUAGCAACCAAUUUAAUCUAGUUUUUAUUUUUUUUCAGCUAAGCCAUACAUUGCGUAUGAUGAGCAUGUUCUUGAUCCAGCACCUAACGGGGAUCGUGUAUUAUUUGCUGAUUAUGGUGGAAUCACUUGGGAUCAUUUCAGAUACAGCCAGCAAUUGGCCUUUGAUAUUGAUCAUAAUACAUUGUCAGGAGGUAUGCCAACUCUUCCUGGAGAGCGGGGCAGAGAUCCUUUUUAUCUAGCUGCUGAGAUAACUCAGAAGGCAAGUAGAUCUUUAAUCAUGCUUUUAAGGAAGAUUGAACUAGAAGGUAAUUGUGUUGAACUUCUUGAUCAUACCAAUGUCCGUGUCUAUGAGAACGGAUAGGUAAGGCUGUCACGCGCCUGUUUUCUGACAAAUCAAGAUUUAAGUGAUGCAGAAAUUGAGAAUCAUCUAAGGCUUAAUUAUAGGGCAGCAGUGGAUAUGAUUUUUAUGUUGUUUGAUGUCAAUGGCAAUGGGCAGUAUUGGCUACCACCAGAUAUGGAUCACCUACUUGGAUUGAUGUGGAAUAAUUUUGGGGAUCGGGGAAUUUAUGCCAUACAUGCUGCUCUUGUACCUAUGGUUUUGUAUCCCCACUUGUUUAAGGAACUGCACGAUUUCAUUUCAGCUAAGAUUAGGGGUUCGGAAUACCAUGACAUCUGUGUUGCACUAGUUGCUAAUGCUCCUGAUUGAAGACGUGAAGUUCAUAAUAAUGACCUCCUUUGUGAAAUAUAUUUUUUUAGACAAGGUUUGAAUUAUGUUGUUCCAUACAACUACCCAAAUCAACUUCAUAUCAGACGUGAUCAACUAGCUGCUCUUCAGGAAGUUAGUUUGAUAAAUUAGAAUGCAUCGAGGCUAACACAGCGUGAGAUUGAUAUUAUUAAUGGCCAUAAGCUUUUGAAGUUCAUGAGAAAUCGGUUGGCUCACUGUAUGGAAGCUAUACAAGCCGGCUAUACGACUUAGAAUCAGCAGUUUCAGUAUGAUUUCUCAGCUAUCAGUAGUGAGACGGUAACUAGAGUGAAAUUUCCUCUAAUCCUGGCUCAAAUUCAGAUUAAUCUUCAUCAUAUAGGGCAUGAUUUGGAGGGACUUGGGUUGGAUAACUUGUUUGGGAGAACUGGAUAACUUGUUCUAAAUGUCCUCUCAGGUAACUUGUGAUUAUGAGCUGUGCAAUUUCUAUGUUGUGUAUGCUGUGUGCUAGUGCGGAGGACUGGAGUUAGCAAGGUGGAGUGGCUUGCUAGCUUUUUGGCCUUCUACGAGACACUCUAUUUAACCCCCUGUGGGACUAUGUAACCCGUAAUUGGUAGUAGUCUUUUUUAUUAUAGCCACUUUUUUCAAUGCAAAUAUAGUCAUAAGCACAAAAGCUUUUGGUAUGUCAUAUCUCUCGGGUGAAUGUUUGGUCUUUAUUAAUUAUACUACUUUCUGCAUGUAUAUGCUAAUAAUUAGCCUCGCUCACUAUUGAGAAGAGGGAGGGGAGCACCUCUAUUUAUAGGCGCUCAUGAUCAUUGUAGUGUUGCCAUGUGGCAACUUCCACUCUCUUCAAUACAAAAUAUCCUAACUCUAGAACCCUCAUCAUCCUUAUCUAGUUUCUAAUAUUUCUACCAUGCUAAAAUAUCUAGUUCUAGAGUAUUCUACACUUCACCAUGAAGCAUGACAAUUAUGGCUCAUGCAUUCUCUCUAAUUUUCUAGAACCUUCUUACCUUGCCACGAUCUUAUCCAUAUACAUGGUAAAGUUAGUCUCUUUGGAUCUUCACAAUCUUCUAGAAUGUUGUAAGUAUGCAUUGCAUAUUUCAACACUCACCCCAUACACGCACUGUAUUAAACUAGUUGCAUGCAGCAAAAGACUUGUUGGAUCAUAUAUUUAUUUCGUGUUUGACUCUGCAGCAGCUACGAGCUCCCAACCCGCACCCCGUGCCAUUCCAGCGACAUUGUGGCGUUAGUGGCCAGGACACCCAAAAAAGGUAUGCAACUAUUUUCAUUCCUAGCCAAUAAAUAAGAUGAAGUGUGUAGGAUCGGUAUACAAUUGCUCAUUCCAGUAGUAGUAGUUUAUUCUUUUUGUCAUGGAUCAAUGAAAGUAGCUAGAGUAGUCAGUCAAUAAAUAGGGUGGGAAAAUAAAUAUUCCUGGUGGAUGGCAUAACCAACCGCCAGCACAAAAUUUCUCUGCGCUAGCGCGUGGUUAUGCCAACCGCCAGCAUGGAAUUUCAUUGUGCUGGCGCGUGGUUAUGCUACCCGACAGCACAAAGACCCACCGUGCUGGCGGGUGGUUAUAUCACCCGCCAGCACAGAGAGCCACUGUGCAGGCAAGACCUCUUUGCUGGCGGGCAAGCACCUGCCAGCAUAUACCGCUAUUUUUUCUGGUUCAAAGUUCCUGGCGGGUGUGCCGCCCGCUAGCACAGUGACCAUUUACCCGCUAGUACAAAUGUUUUUUGGAGUAGUGGUUACUGCAUCAACUUGUUGAUAUAUGGACGAGAUAACACUCUAUGACAGGUCAGCACCUUUUCCAGUGUCAAUGGAACCAAAGUAUGGUGGAGGCUUGUUGUUUUCAGUGGUGGCCGUGGCGCACGUGGUGGUGACUGUGGAAGUUAGUUAUCAUGUGAAGCUACGAUUUGAGAUUAGUAGAGGCAAGGAAGAAGCUGGGUGUGGGGUUAGUAGGCAUGCCAGGCCAUCGUGAUGGGCAGGAUGUUCAAGGUAGCUGCGAAGGUAUCAGCCUUGUACGUGCUGUAUCUGAUACCGCUGCGAUCCACGUACCUCGCCGGUUUCAAGAGCAACUUCAGAGAAGGUAUCUGAUUUCAUGUUGAUCCUUGCAAAUUUGGAUAUAGGAAAUCUCAUGUUUGUUAGCUAAUUAGCAUGGAGUGGCUACUCUUCUUGGGAGUAACUUGUUUAUCUCAAUUCAGGGACCGAGGCUACUGCCCCCAAGAAGAGUGCUGCUGCUGCUGCCAACUAAGUCAUGAUCGAUAUCCCCAUUGAAGAACCUUGGAAGCAACAAGUUGAGAACUUUUGGUUGAAUUGUACUAUCUCAUCUCUAUCUAGCCACAAUACUGUGAAAGCACUGGUUUGCCUGUACUUUAAAAUUAAAGUCAGAUGAAGAACAUCUGAAUUCGCUGCUCCUUAGUUUGAUGUCAUUUUGGUGAUCUGUGCAUGCGUUUCUGAGCAAUUUUAGGCAUAAAAAAUUCUUUUUGGUGAGCUAUGACCCCCACGCCACGCGUGACAUUGACAAGAAGGUCCGUUACAUGGGCCGGCCAACCUGAGCCUCACAAGGAAAUUAGGCAUUAUUGUUGGGUGGGUUCGUCCGUUGGUAUAGAAGCCCAGUGGCCCAAACUGCAUGCGUAUGGCCUCGUCGCAUACAAGUGCACCCUAAAUCAGCAUUGGUCCCUGGAAUCUGGAAGCCGCCGGAUCGCCGCCACCUCCGCUCCCGCACGCCUCCGCCUCUUCUCUCCUUGCUGGCCGCCGCGUCCUUCUUCGUCGGUAAGGCACCUCAUCACCUUAUAGAGAUCAUCCCCCGAUUUGUUCACCUCCGCCGACUUCCCCAACUGGGUGAUGCUGGAGCCCUUCGUGUUCCGCAGGGACGACGACAAGUCUUUCCCGGACGAGAGCAAGGCGCCCGUCAGGGCGUCCGGCACCACCUCCUGGCAAGCCCAGUUCCGUUUCGCCUUCGACCUCGCGGAGCCCCCGCGCAUCUCCCGCCUCUAUGCGCAGCUGCCAGGCUUUCCGGGUCCCAGGAAAGGGAGGCCCUUAGCCAUGGUGUUGACGCACCGCCAUCUCGCCCUGUUUAGCGUCGGUACCUAUUGACGAGAACCUAUUCAUCUACAGCGCCAAGUCUUCCUCGCUCGAAAGGCUCCCCUGUUGUACCGAGGAUUUGGAACUUGUCCUCCACGAUGGCAGCCCAUCUCAUCGCCCUCGUGAAUCGGGGUCGCGCCUGCAGUGUGUCAGUUCCAUGGGCCUCUUGUGCCAAGGCGAGGAAGAAGAAGAGUUCGCGGUGGCGGAGCUGAAGCUCUACCCGGACAGACGCAAGUGUAAGAUCUUCGCCGACAUCUUCCUGUUCUUGAAGUCAGCCGGCAAAUGGAGCUCUUCGCGUGUACCCAUCCUCCACAGCGGCAAUCCCGAUGAUUUGUGGCAUCUCUACAUCUGGCAGGCCCACAGGGUCAUCCCUGUGGACCGCUGGCUAUGCUGGAUUGACUGUAUGCAAGCAUCCUCUUCUACGAUGUGUUUGCGGCGGCACCGGCUACUAUCUCCUUAUUCCGCUUCUCCGUGCACAAGUUCCCUGCUACUCAUCCCAAUCGUGGCAGCUGGUUUCACUGUGGUGUGUCUGCCUUUGAUGCCGCCGGUACGCUCAAGUUCGUUGAUGUCACCCGCGAUGAUGGCAUUACUGGCUACAAGGCACUCAAGCCCGGUGCUGGCUUCACCAUGACCUGCCACACCCUCCUCCUCCCAUCGUCUCUAAGCAGUAGCAGCAUGGUGUGGAACAAGGACUGGAAAGUCACCUCUGAUGAGCUCUGGAGUAAUGAUAAUUGCCUCCCGCGCCAGGUUCCCAUGUUCCCCCAAGAUAACAUCGACAUGCCACAUCUAGUACAUUUCCUUAUCAGCGACUUCACAUACGUGAUGAGGAAGAUGUGGGUGGUCACCAUUGACAUGAACACUAGGACCGUCGAGUCAUUUUAUCAGUAUCUCAAUGGUCAGGAGGACAUUGGAACUGAGCAGGAGUUCUUGACCGACCAAAAGUCCGUGUGUCCCAGUUCCUUCCUCCCCAGUGAGUUCUCCAAGUACCUUUCCUCAAGGUAAUACUAAUUGCUAGCUGCUGGCAUUUAUCUAUCUUUUACCUAGUUGCUUAUUAGUAGGUUUUUGCUGGUUAAUUGCAUGUUUAAUUUGUCCCUUGCAUUGCAUAUAUGCAAGUUGUUCACCACAUAUUAAUCAAUCGUUAGCAUUUCACUUCAAUCUUUAAUCAAGUGUUUGUUUUUGGCAAUUCUUUCCUAAGUAAAUAUAUAUAGCACAACUAAUAAUUUGGGACGCAAUGGUAGUAUUUUCCUCUAGUAUUUGUUGUCUUAACUUAAUUGUGACUAUACUGUGCAUGCAUCAUUACAAAUCAUUGUCACAAAACAUAAAUCAUGUGACGGUUUGGACCAAGUACAUAAUAAAUGAGAGUGAUCACAAUGUACAUUGGUAAUUUUGUACAAUCAUAAUGUACGCUUGUGGCCAUGCAAGGUCAAAUUCCAAACAAACUGCCAAACACACAGAGAAAAAACUACAUUAGUGUGUUAUCAAUGUAUUACUACUAGCCUGCAUGUUUUCAGAAGAACAAACCAACCACAAGAUCACAUUUUGAAUUAAUCUCAAGUCAUCAUUCAUCAUCUGUCAAGUUCUCCAAAAGCGCCAAAUUCUGCAUUUUGAGGAUCCUCAUGUUGAGCUCAACUUGGCGAUUGAUUGCUGUAUGCCUGUGUCAUGAUUAUCAUGGAAGCCAUCAACGGGAGCUAAUGAAUUACAAAUGAAUUUCCACUAUAUCUUCAAGGGCUGAGAUGUCCCAAAAUAACAGCCGGAGAAAAUGUUUCCUUACAAAUCGAUUCAGAAGCACUGGAUUGCAUGCAUAUUCGCCGUUGUAGGCUCCUAGCUAGCUGUUCUCGUACUCUUUGGCGAGCUACAAGCCUACAAGAUGAGAAUGACUGUAUGGAUGAGAACGAAGAGGUAAGAGAUAUGGAUACAGGUCUGUGUAAAUAAAAAGCCUCGACAUGCUUAAUAGGGAUAAACGAAGUUAAACCAAAGAACCCCUCAGCAGCAGCCAGCAGCUUAAAAAAAUGAUAACUAAUCUAUUAUUAUGACCUAAAAUGCUUUUAUUACUAGCAUGCUUUUUAAAGUAUUGCGAUUGGAAUUCCUGCAUUGCAAACAUCUUUUUCCAUCCAUUCCUGUGUUUUUUCCAUCCUUUGUUUCGCUAUUACACACUCAUCACAUUCAUACGGUUUUUUCCUAUUCCUCUUGUUUUAUAUUCCUUCGUUCCAAAUAGACCCUAAACACUGAAGACAUUACGAACCUGGGAGCAUUAUGAACUCUGAAUAAGUUACAGAGGGAUUUACACAAUACGGAAUUUCUGAAUGCCUGCACUGAAACGAAACAAAAUGGAAAUGUUCCUCAAAUGACAGUUCCAUGAAGUAGCUAGGAAACUCUAAGGGUCCAUUUGGCUGAGAGAAUCGUUCCAGAUUCUUGCUAGAAUUUGUCUGUUGCUUGCCAAACGGUCACCAUAGCUAUAGUUGGCUAAAUGGGCCGGGCUAAACGGGCGGCAUGAGGGCCGGCCUGUUUUGGCCUGACGCCAGCACGGCCUGGCCCGCUGUUACACGGGCCUGUGCCGGCACGGCCCGACACAGCAAGCCGAACCUAGGCCUCAGCUGCGGCACAUCGGGCGGCCCAUGGCACGGCCCGUGCAACGGGCGGCACGGCCACGGCCCGGUUUCCCUGGUAUAAGCCCUCCCUCCCAGCCCCCGCCCGCGCAUCCGCAUCGGCAACCCUAAUCCCUAAUCCCCUCCCCCUCCCUCUCCUCCAGUCCGCCGCAAUCCCACUUGGCCGCUCAGCCUCGCGCGUGUCUGCCUCCCUCUCACCCUAAGCACCGGUCACCGUCACAGCGGCACCGCCCCCGUCAUCGGCUCCCCACCCCCACCUCCUGCCCUCCGCCUGUCCGCCUUCGGCCCUCCGCCUAUCUGCCUCCUUCCCCUUCUCGAUCUAGAUCUCACCGGUCCGCCUCUGCCUCUUGCCUUGAUGCCUCCUUCCCCUCCUUGAUCUCGGCAUGCUUGGGUGCUUCGGCAACGCAGGUACUUUCUUCUUCUUCCCCUUCUCACAUCUUGACCUAAUCCCCUCCCGCAUCUUGGCUUCUAGGUCAUUGGCUGAGCACAAUGCCAUCGUGCUCGCAUGGGUGUGGCGCACGCCGUUGAGGAGCCUGAGCCGCCGAGGCAUCAAGGAGGCGAGGAGGAGGGAGGUCAUUAGAGUCUCGGAGAUGGAGACUGAUACACCGACCUCUGAUACACCUUGGUCGUUAGAAGUGGAUGUCCUCCAGGUUGGCUUAGCUGGUGGCAGUGCUGCAGAUGCUAUCGACCUUGAUGGUGCCGGCCCUGCCGGCGCGCCCGAGGAGUCGGUGCCGCCGGUGAGCUUUGACGCGAAGAGGGUCAAGAACUCCACAUCUAAGGUGUGGAACGACUUUGAGGAGCUCUUCAACACGAGGAAUGGCAAGAAGGUCAAGUAUGGCGCUAGGUGCCUUCAUUGCAGUCAUGAGUACUCUGGCAAAUCUUCUAGUGGUACUGGCCAUUUGUGCCGGCACAUUCUUGCUUGUAGGAAGAGAAAAGAAAAUGAUCGCAUGGCUCAAACUAUGCUAAAGUUCAAUCCUGAUGGUUCUAUCCAUUAUUGAGAGUACUCUGAUGCUGUUGCUCGUAGUCAACUGUGCCGCUUGAUAGCUAGGGAGGAUAUGCCUUUAGGGUUUGGAGAGUCUAAUACCUUUUAAGAGUACAUAAACUGUACUCAUAACAAUAGAUUUUCUAAAUCCUCUAGGCAAACCACCACCAGAGUAACAAUAGAUUUUCUAAAUCCUCUAGGCAAACCACCACCAGAGAUAUGGUAAAACACUUCACUGAAUGUCAUGGUAAGCUUAAGGAAAUGUUAGUUGUAUCUUUUUCAUCUGUUGCUCUUACUUCUGAUAUAUGGUCUGGAAAUUCUAAGGAGGAUUAUCUUAGUAUGGUUGCUCACUUUGUUAAUGCUGACUGGGAAUUAGAAAAAAGAUUGCUAGGUCUGAGACUCAUUGAUGAGUCACUUCUGGUUCUUCUUCUGUUUAUUCUCCUUCUCAAUUGGGAAGGAGGACAAGUAUUGGUGCACUAUUUGUAGGUACUACAUCUCUUUCAGAACUGUCAUCAUAUCUAGAUAGUGACUACGUCACCCAAUACGAUGAAGACUUCAACAUUCUCAAUUGGUGGCACGAGCAUAAGCAAACUUAUCCCAUUCUUUCUAUACUUGCUAAAGAUGUGCUAACAGUACCUGCUUCCACAAUAUCAUCAUAAUCCACUUUUAGUCUUGCUGGCAGGAUGCUUGAGGAGCGGCGACGGUGGCUGACAUCUGACAUGGUGGAGGUGCUGUCUUGCUUGAAGGACUGGGAGUGGGCUGAUGCUCAAUUGCAGCACAACGUCGAGAAGGAGACCAAAGAUCUGGAUCUGGCUUUCGAGAACAUAUUCCUUGAUGAUGAUGAUGCUGAUUCAUGAUGGAGUGAUGCCUUGAUGGACAUGUGUCUUUUCUAUUCUACUUAGUAUCGCACUAUUUGUGUAAUGAACAUUUGGACAUUAAGAACUCUCUAGAGCUAGGUUGUACUCUUUUUUCCUUUCUAGGUUUUUUCUCACGAGGUGUGAGUUUUACCUAGAAAGGUUUUUAAUAAGGCAGCCACAUCAAACGGCUCAAAUAAAAUUUGAUUUGAUCAUCUCUAUAUCUCUAUGAGUAUCAGUUAUGAUUUUGAUAAUAUGUAUGUAUAUGUUAUAUGCUGUGCAUUCCCUAUCCGUUGGAUGGUUUUUAUUUGGCGGGCCGAUUGGCGGCCCGACCUGACUGGCUAUGUAUAACCACAGCCGGCAAUUCUAGAUAGAAACGUUUCUAGCUAUUCUAAUUUUUUGUACUAGAGAAUAGAAUCACCUCCAAGCCAGUUUCAGGUGAUUCUGUUUCUUUCUUUCCUGUCUCCCCUCUAGUAUGUGAUAAGUACACUUCGUCUUUUUCAAGUGCAAUAAUUUAAAAUGGAUCGCAUGUGAAAUGUUCUUCACCCACAAAAAAAUUCAUGAAGCCUAUCUAUUUCUAUAUUUUUUAAAAAAGAAAAAUAAUUUAUCUUUAUGUCUAUUUUAGAAACCGAAUCAGCUAGGUAGCCAAACAAUUUUAGGUAGCAAAACAAUUUCAGGAAAGUAAUUCUAUUUCAACAAAGAAACGUUUCUACAGAGAAUCUGAAUCUGAAAUGUUUCUUAGAGAAUCUGGAUCCCUACCAAACCAAACCUAGGAUAAGUUAUAAAGCUAGCAUAACACAUGGGACCAUAUAAAAGGACCACAAAACAGGAGCCCAGAUUCCAAGAACAAUUACAUCAUAUAAUCUAAAUGUCUCUUAUUUGUUGGAAGGGCAAUUUUUUCUAAAACACUAUGAUUUCCAAAUCCACUUAAAAGAACUUGGUACUUCAGAACGAUCGGUUAGAAUCUUAUAAGCGUUGGACAAUGAGAAAACAGCAUUACCCUAAACUUUCAGUCUCAAAACUAAAUUCAAUUUUUAAGAACUGUUCCAUUUACAAAUUUUUGCAAUACCAGUUAGGUUCCUACUUCCCUUACGUAGUUACUCCUGUAUUACUGUCUGUAUCUCCAACAAAUUCAAUUCCCAGGUAGGCCGGAUUGAUGUAGUUUACAGAGAUGCUUCCAGGGAACUAGUAGUGCAGAUUACUGCACCAUACCAAGCAAGAGCAUGCUAAUUCGAAACCAAAACCGAAACCAAGCAAAACAGCUCACAUUGCUAGUUUCUUCCACGAUAGAUAUUUUCUUGUGAUAUAUCUAGGAAGGAACAAGGUCCUCAAGUGGAUAGUUCCACUAUCCGCUUGUGGUUUGAUGAAACAUCAGACAAUAUCUUUAUCAAUGAAAUAGGCACAAUCUCAUACCCGUUCGUUCAAAACGAAAAGAAAAGAAACAUCAGACAAUAGUUCGAAAAUCAAAGAAAGAAAUAAAGAGAAAAAAAAUCGCCAGGAUCUUGUUUUGCCGUUCUGAAUUUGUGGUCGCCGCUCCCAUGCGAUGCGUAGCGUUGGUGGAUGGAUCCAUCAGUGGCCGCCGCCCACGGCGUCCUUGACCGCGGCCGCCGCGCCCUGGGCCAUCUGCGCCACCUGAUCAGCAGCCUGCGCUCCCACACGGAUGGGAGGAUUAGAGGAUUAUUCAUCGGAAAUCACCCGGCGAGGAGGAAUUCAUCCGUACUACCUGCUGGACGGUGUCGGCGGCGCGGUGCUGCUGCUGCUGCGCGCUGUCGGCCGCAGCUCCGGUGGCGUCGGCCGCGGCGCCGCCGGCGGCGUCCUUGACGGACUGCGCCGCGCUCUCCGCCUGGCACUGCACACACACACACAUGGAUCAUUCAUGGAUGAAUUCCAGGGCACGCCAUGCCAUGCAAGCAAAGCGAUUCGUCAGCACUAGCUCACCUCGCCCUCGGCGGCGUGCGCCUUGCCGGCCUGGAUGGAUUGCUCAACGUUCGACAUCGCCGAUGAUGGUUUCUUCUUGAAGCUGUCAAAAUUACUUGAAGUUGCCAGGCGCUUGAGCCGUGGUUUAUAUAGAGCCUUGUAGGAGCUGCAAGUCUUGACAAGUGUCAGGUUAAUUUUUAGCCAUUUGCUAAUUACCGCAAGCCAAAUUUAGAGCCUCCACAAAUAUCGUAUUCAUAAUUUAUUUCUAGAUUAAAUCACAACUAAAAGUGCUUAUAUAUCCAACAGUCACCUCUGAUGAGCUCUGGAGUACUGAUGAUUGCCUCCUGUGCCACGUUCCCAUGUUCCCCCAAGUGAACAUCGACAGGCCACAUCUAGUGCAUUUCCUUAUCAGCGACUUCACAUACGUGAUGAGGAAGAUGUGGGUGGUCACCAUUGACAUGAACACCAGGACCGUCGAGUCAUUUUAUCAGUAUCUCAAUGGUCAGGAGGACAUUGGAACUGAGCAGGAUCAGUUCUUGACCGACCAAAAGUCCGUGUGUCCCAGUUCCUUCCUCCCCAGUGAGUUCUCCAAGUACCUUUCCUCAAGGUAAUACUCAUUGCUAGCUGCUGGCAUUUAUCUAUCUUUCACCUAGCUGCUUAUUAGUAGGUUUUUGCUGGUUAAUUGCAUGUUUAAUUUGUCCCUUGCAUUGCAUAAAUGCAAGUUGUUCACCACAUAUUAAUCAAUCGUUAGCAUUUCACUUCAAUCUUUAAUAAAGUGUUUGUUUUUGGCAAUUCUUUCCUAAGUAAAUAUAUAUAGCACAACUACUUUACCAAGCACCUUCAUUUGCAUGCUAGCUUUCUCUUGCUAACAGAAUCAAUGCAAGUUUGAUUUGAACAUCAUCCAUCUAGAUUGCUUUUUCACAGUAUUUAUGUAUUUCAUUGCAGGACGGUGGAAUGAGUCGCAUCAAUAUAUUUGGUUCCACAAGAUAGUAAGGCUUCUGUUGUGUUUGUCAACAUGUUGAAGGAUGAAUGGAUAAGUUAUAUCAAUAAGUUUGUGGAAGUGUGUUCCGUAGGUUCGUCAAA
RNAcentral lists this long non-coding RNA (52582 nucleotides) under Setaria italica (foxtail millet). RNAcentral's name for it is "long non-coding RNA (SITA_LNC000216)". Lineage: Eukaryota; Viridiplantae; Streptophyta; Magnoliopsida; Poales; Poaceae. The record is from RNAcentral.